RNAcentral lists this long non-coding RNA (52058 nucleotides) under Populus trichocarpa (black cottonwood). Its description in RNAcentral is "long non-coding RNA (PTRI_LNC001459)". The record is from RNAcentral. Lineage: Eukaryota; Viridiplantae; Streptophyta; Magnoliopsida; Malpighiales; Salicaceae.
AAGGACCAAAUCUGAUAUAAAAAUCAAAUGUGAAUGGAUGAAAUUAAAAAGAAAAUUAACUCAAUAAAUGACUUAAGACCAAUACAUUGCAAUGAAAAAAAAUGAGGAUCUAAUUUGUAUAAACAAAAAAAUAACCAGAUUUCUUUGCUUUUUUUUUUUUUUUUGCAAUGACCAACAUGUUAUUUCUAGGAGGGGAGAAAGGAAAGAGGUAGGGAAGAAAAAACACGUUGUUUGAGCUCAACCGCCAGUCUGAUCACUGCACACUCCUCAUUACCUUGUCUCACCACCGUGACAGGGGCAAUGAGAUGCAUUGAAAGUCGUUUUUAACGCUGACUUUUAGAGUUUUUUUGGGGCCACAAACGCCACUCGAAAGGCGCAGGCGACACCUGCUAGCUACCACGACAGCCACUUUUGAAUUUAAAUAUAUUUUUAUAUAUUUUAAAAGACCUAAUUCGCCUGACUGCACAUGAGAAUAAGAAAAAAAAUCAUAACAAAAUAACUAAAGUGUCAUUGCAUUCAAAGCUAAGAAAGAUUAUUUUUUAGGGGCAUUUAAGUUAUUUCAUUUGACAAAAAUAAAUUUGAAAAACCCGAAAAGCCCCUUGAUCCAAAGAACAAGUUUUUUUUUUUCAUUUAACGGUGAUUAAGUAAUUACAAUAUGAAAAAAAGAUGUCAGAAUACUGAUUAACCCCCUCGUUUUCUAUAAUGACUAAUGAAUUAUAUAGAAAUGACUUUCCUACCCCUAAACCCAAGCUUUGUGAGCUUGUCAAUCAAGAGUAAAACAAUAAUUUUAUUGUAAGAAUCCAUUACAAAAUAUGAAUGUGAGUAUGUGAACAUAAGAUCUCUUUUAGUUUUUUUUUUAUAUAAUUUGUAAACCAUAAUCUCAUAAUACUAGCUUAAGAAUCACUCCAUAAUAGCAAAGAUGCUACUCUGUAACCCUACAUCUACUAUUCUUCUGUAUCAAUGAAAAUUACAAACCAAAAAAAUACAAUAUUUUCUCAUAGUAAGACUUUUAUUGGUAGAUUUUUUUUUCAUUUCUUCAAGAAUUAUAAAUGAUGUUUUGCUAUUGUCGAUUCUAAAAGAAACAAAAACUAAGCAAAAAAAGUCUUGAUAUCCUUGAAUAUCAAAAGCAUGAAGUCUUUGAAUUGUGAAACACUUAAAAAUAUUUUAAAGAUAGAUCAAAGGAUAUCUUUUGUUAAAAAAAUUAUAUAAAUCAUAUUUUAGGAUCUUACCUAAUAACUUAAACUUCUGGGUUGAGAUGAUUUUUUGAUAUGGUAUUAAAAUCUUAAUGAUUAAACAAUCACGAGUUCGAAUCUCAACACCUCUAUUCUCUUAAAUAAUUGUAUAAAAUAGCGUGAACAUGUACAAGUUUCAAGUCUAAAAUGCUUUCACUUAAGAGAGUAUGUUAGAGAAUUAUAUAAAUCAUAUCGUGACCUCUUGAUCAACAAGACUCUGAUACCAUGUCAAAGAAUCAUAUUAACCUAAUAACUUAAGCUGUUAGGUGAAGUCUCAAGAUACGAUUUAUAUUAUUCUCUAACAUAUUUAACAUUUUAUUUUAUUUUUUAUUAGUGAUUGUUUUUUGUACGUUAAAUAGAUUGUUUAUAUAUAUAAAAAAAAACAACCACACAUCAUCACAUCUUAUCCUAGACACCCUCUAAAUCUUCUCUCAAAGCAUUUUAAAAGAAACACCUUUUAUAUCAGCCUAGUAAAGAAUACUCGUAAGUGUUGACAUCGAAGUCUAAAUCUAUAAAAUAAAGAAAAAUAACAUUUCUACUUAAACACCAGACCAAUCUUUUGAGGUUAAUUAAGAGUGUUUUGAGUAGAAGCUUGAAGUAGUCUUACUAUUGUUCUUUUUAUCCUUUCAAAACUAAUAAAGCACCUUUUCGGCAUGUUUUCAUGCAUAGAUGAAGUCUAUAAUAUUGCUUUAUGUGCAUUAUUGACUUAAGGUGAUUUAACCUAAUCUCACAACUUUCACUUGAUCAGAGUUAAAAUGAUGUAUAAAUUCAAAUUAAUCAAAAUAACAAAUAACAUAUGAAAUCGAGGCUUCAUGCAUGCUUUAGUUCAUUAAGUACAGAGGAAUAUGAAAGAGAAAAGUUUAGACUUAUAUUCAUUGCAUUGAAAUAGACAUGGUUCUGCAUCAUCUUUAAUGUUCCAAAAGGUAACUAAGAAGAAUAAAGAAGUAACUCUUAGCUUACUAAUUGUUUAUAAGUUCAAGUCUACAUCCUAUAAAAUAGUUACUACCUGCAAACCACAACCUACGUUUCCGUAGCGCCUAUAAACUUAGUUUAUACUUCACAUUCUUGUCAAAAACGAAACAUAUCUUCUCAAAUGAAAACUUUUUGAACUUAAAACUUGCAUAGGCACACAUUAUCUUGUAUUUAAUUUUUAUCAAAUAAAUAGGGAUGGUGAUAUUCAAACUCGUGACCGUUUGGUCAUCAAGGCUCUGAUACUAUAUCAAAGAACCAAUUCAACUCAAAAGAUUAAGCUAUUAGGUGAAAUCUUAAAAUAUUAUUUAUAUUAUUCUCUAACAAUUUUACGAUAAGAUUUCAAUAUGUUUGAAAUUUGAGAGGGUUACACUGAAUGCAAUUGUAAUUUACCAGUUUGAGUUAUUGAUUGUUUGUUGUUGACGACUCUAUUUUCAUUUUCCUCGUAGCCUUUAUAUUCUCAUGCUUUAAAAAAAAUUAUUUUUUUAUUUGAAAUUUAUUUUUUUAAUGUUUUUGAAUCAUUUUAAUUUUAAAAAUAAAUUUUAUAAAAUAAAUUUUAAUAAAAAAAUAUUUUAAAAAAUAACCAUUAAUUUCAAACAGUCUUGUGUUGUGUUCUCUUACCCAUGUACACGAUGAAUCUUCGGGUGGACAUGUUCUCUCCCAAUCGUGCACUUUCCAAAGUCCAAGCAGGAGCUACUUCUCGUUAAAUAUGUGAGCUGGGCCCUUUUAUUUUUAUUUUUGGUCGACAGUAAAUUAAUUCCCAGUGGGCUGGGUCUAAUAUCUUGAACUAAUUUACAACUGGGUCAAUCGAUUAACCAAGUCAGUGUACAACGGUGUAAUAUAUUAUUUAUUUCGAGGCUCUCGUGGCAAAGUUCAUGCUUCCGAAACUACAACAAAAUUCUCAAAUAGGUCCCUCAACAAAAAUAAUUCCUAAUCAGGUACUCAAAUAAUCUCCGCUGUUAAUUUAUUUCACAAAUAUAACGUGAUUUCAAGAUAAAUAGGGCUUCGGCUCUUGUGAUCUUAGAAGCAAAAUAUUUAAAAGUGGCAUUAAUUGGGUAAUGAUUAUUAAUAGAUCGGGGACUCGAAUGGGAAAGGUUUUUAUAUGGAGACUCUAUUGACAUCUUGUUGAUAGCUCAGGGAGCAAAUUCAUGUAUUGCCCUUUUCAAAAUUAAGUUUUAAUUCAAAGAGUUGUCUAUGAUUAUAAACAAGAUUCCAAUUAAAAAAAUAAAAAAUACUAAGAUUUGCUAAUCAGAUUUAAUUUUUAAUUCAAAGAGUUGUCUAUGAUACUAAACAAGAUUCCAAUAAAAAAAAAUUAAUAAAAAAAUAAGAUUUGCUAUUCACGUUUAAUUUUUAAUUAACCCUUUUCUUAGACGGAGCUAGGAAAUGCACAAACCUCAAAUUAUGAUGAGAUUAGUCUAUGCGCUCUUGCUCUUACUUUCAAUUCAUCAAAUAUUACAUAUUAAUCACUAGUGAGCUGUGAGAAGAAUGAUGUAUAAAUCCAUUUACUCUUUUUAAGUUUAACCUAAUCUUCUUUUUUAGUUAGAUGUAGUUUGGAAUUACGUUUCAAAUCACAUUUCAUGAAAAAAUAUUUUUUUAUUUAAAAUUAUUUUUAUAUAUUUUUGGAUUGUUUAACGUGCUGAUAAUAAAAAUAAUUUUUUAAAGAUAAAAUAAAAAUUGUUAUGAUGUAUUUUCAUACGAAAAAUAUUUUAAAAAUUAAUUAUUAUUAGACUCUCCUCUUUAAUCAUUGUUUUUGUCAAAGUUUUAUCUUCAUGUUUUUCCAUCCUAAAAAACAAAAAGGUUGGAAAGCAAAUCUUUGUGCUGAUUGAAUGAUAGGGAACUGUGUUUUCUCUUUAGACAAGAACAUUUAUUCUUAUGUUCAUGCAUUUGAGAUUGAUUUAAUUUUCUUUUAAAAGACACAAAAAUGCUUUGUUUUUAAAAAAUGUGCUUUCCGUAAUUUUCUUGCUUUAGGACUUUAAUCCUUUCUUCCAAUACAAAAUAAAAAUAAAUAAGAGUAUUAUAUUCACUCCUCCCACUAUUAUUGCCACUCCAUGAUUUAUUAAAAUGGUUAAAUCAGUUUUUUAUUUAAAUAAAUCAACUUAACACAAUUAUUUGGUAAAGUUUAUGUUUUUUUUUUAACGCGGGUGUCCGGACCAGUUUAUGUAUAUCUCGACUAAUCUCAUGAGGUUCUGAAGUUAAUGACCAUAUAAACCUCCAAAAACCCUGAGAUUUGUGAUAUUUAAACUGAUAAUUUUUAAAAAAUAAAUUUAAAAUCUGACUAAUUGAACUAAACUAGUUAUAAAGGUUAUAUUUCUUUCUUUUCUUCUUCGUGGAGUAAAGAGUAUAUUUCCCAGCAAAACGGAUUAAUAGAAAAGAAAAAAAUAUAUAAAAAAAAGAAGAAGAAUAUCUCACAUUUUAGAAGACCGUUACAAGUCUCGUAAAACGAAUCCAUCAUCCCUCGCAAUGCUCUAACACUCACAUCUUAAAAUUAACCGUUGCAAAACCUUGCCAGUUGCCACGCUCCUAUUCUUAAAUCACCGACCAAGGGCAUUCUUGUCAAUAACAGACUUAUUCAAAAACUUUCCCAAUUCGACCGUUGCGUUGAAAUACUUCAAAGGCCUACCGUUUCAAAAUCAAAGUCACCAUUACUGUAUCUCUCUCUCCAAAACCUCAAAUCUCUCGCUCUCUCUCUCUCUCUACAAAUACAUAUCCAUGGCAGAUCAAAGCGCAAACCCGUCGUCAAUAAUGGAGCCAAAGCAACAACACCCACUUCACCAAAUUGCAGAAACACCGACGCACAAGCUUCUUUUAAAACAAUGGUUAAAAGAAGAAGAACUGAUCUUCAACAGAAUCUCUCUCAAAGAAACACAAAUCGACUCAGUCUGUAAAGAAAUCACUCAACUUUACAUAUUCUUCUUCCUUUUCCACUCCAUUUCUUUGCUUCUUCUCUUCAACGCAUCCUCGAAAGACCCUUUUGGAGCUAAAGGGUCAGAAGCUUGCAAGAGAUCAUGGAUCCCUUCAUUGUGCUCUCUUCUAUGUUCUUUAGGGAUUAUUUGGGCUGUUAGAUAUAAAACUGAUGUUGAAUGCCAUUUAGAGAAGCUGUUAGAGAGAGAGAAAGAAGAUGGUCAGUUGCUGGCUAAGUGUGUUGAGGAGUUGAAGAAGAAAGGAGGGGAGUUUGAUCUCUUGAAAGAAGUUGAUGCACUUCGAAGAGCUAAGAGUUUGAGAGUUGAAACAAAGGUUGUAAGGAAAUGGUCUGCUAGGGAUUUUGUUACUUUGUUUUUCUUUAGUGUGUCUUGUCUUGUUCUGGGGUUGACAAGGAUUAUUUUGUGUAAUUGAUCGGAUUGGAUUCAAAAUGGGGUUUUUUUUAUGUAAUUUGGUUUUUCAUGGCAGAAGACUCUUUGUUUCUGUCAUUGAAUUGGAUGGGGAGCUAUGAAACUAAUUUGUUUCUGUAAUUUGGGAAAAUUUUAUUUGAAAGAAUUAAUGUUGAAACAAGUACGAAUCUCUUGCUCUUUGAUGAUUCUAAUUUGUGAUUUGUUUAAUGACUUUUGGCAAAUGAAAUACUGAAGUUUGAAUUGCAGAGCCCAUCUGUUUUCUUUUGUUCUUCUUAUUUUUAAGGCUUAAUGCAGCUGCUGUUUACCUAGCUGGGAGUGUCGGUAGAUUAUAGAUAAAAACGGUUCCAUCUGUUUUAUUCAUGAAAUUAAGAAUACUAAUUGAAACUGUUUUUUUCCUUUCCCUUUUCUCUAGUUUGAGACACAGCCACACCGAAUAAGUCAAUAACAGUGACCAGAAUGGAUAGCUGCAAAGGCUUAGAUGCAAAUCAGCUCUCUUCUCUUCAUGGGUGAAGAAAGGUAUAGAUAUCCACCGCAUGAAGAGUUUUCAAAUACUUCAGUCGACACCACCUCUUAUUUGCUAGGGCUUCUUUAUGGAUUUCAUGUUACGUUCCAUGAGGGACAAUGGUUUUCCUCUACACAAUAGCAGCAGAAACAGAGUCCGGUUUCAUAGUACAUGCAGUUAAAACAUCCUACCAAAAUUCAGAAAAAUUUCAACUUCCUUGCCCAUUUACCAUUCCAGACAGAAUUAUUAUUCUUUAGCCUAGAUGGCAUUCAACAUCAAAAGGAAACAUAGAGAUCAACUAUGCUAAUGACAAUAGUAUCUUGCACAUCUCCUAAACACAUCUCAUAAAACUGAAGAAAUCAGAAUCAAAUCACUCCUUUAGGAACUUGCUGGAUCUGGACGGGCUGAAAAAUACGUGUAGCUAAAAUAAGGAUCGCCGCCUCCUCUUUACAUAUCAAUGAUAAUGUUAUAGCUGUUUCAAGAAAUUCCAUUUCACCAGUAACAAGAUUUAAGACUCCAACCUAUCUUUACAUGCAUCAAGAAAAAACAGUAAAAAUACAAAAAGGAAAACUCAUUUUAAACAGUGGUCGUUGUGUGUCUUGUAAUUAUGUACAUGAUUGCACAAAUCCAUUAAUAGAACAGGUAUGUGAACUUUCAGAACAAGCCUUAAGAAAAAAAAUGUACUGGCACUGAUACAAGAAAAUCGUCAUCUGCCCUGUCCGAUAAUGUUAUUGAGCAUGGGAUCGGUGGUGUUUGGUGUGAAAUUCUGUGUUGUUCUCAAUGCUGGUGCUUGUAGAUGAAUUGUAGUGGCUAGUAUCAGAUGUUCUCGUUGCACCAUCAUUCAUAAAGCUGCUUGUAUCAUCAAAUUUCCAGUAAUUCAAGUAUAUCCAGUUUUUGACGUUACACUACUCACUUCGAUAUCACCAGAUAGCAUAGCAACGACACACGACAUUGAUGGCCGUAGCAUAGGUGAAGUUUGAGUACAUAAAAUGCUUUGAGUAAAUAAAAAGCAACUGCUAUCAAACGUUUUACUUCUUCCUCAUUAGAUUCAGAUAAUCUGGAGUCUACUAGCUCAACUUCACGGUUGUUUUCAUGUAGGUGCCAGGCCUGAAAAGAAAGUAACCACUUAUAUUGAUGAAAAGCAAUUGAUUUGAUAUAAACUGGCCAGAGUGAAAUGUGGCAAAACUUUUGCAGUAAGUGGGUUACAAGUGUCAUAUAACAUACCCAUUCAAGAAGGUAUAUCCUUUCCAUUUCCAAGCUCGAGUCCGAACUUGGCCUUCUGCUUAUGAUUUCCAGAGCCACAACACCAAAUUCAAAUACAUCAGCUUUUCUGUCAGGUGUCCAUGCAUCGCAUGCUCCGGAGCAAGAGAUCCACUAAAUUAGUACUGACAGGGUCAAUAACACUAGUACAUAUGGUUGCACAGUCAAUGCUUCUAGACAUGAUUUGGGUAGAAGGAUGAUUGCUUAAAUUUAAAGAAAUUUAAGGGUUUUGCAGUUCAAGAUCUCACAUUGUUCCUGCAACACGGGUGCUUAUACGGGUCUUCUUAUCAUUGUAAAGUUUGGCUAAACCAAAAUCUGAAGUUUUUGGAAUGAGAUCAGAAUCAAGCAGAUAUUACUGGCCUUCAUAUCUCUAUGAACAAUUCGAAUCCUUGACUCCUCAUGCAGAUAAGCUAGACUUCUUGCUACUUGCAAGCAUAUAUCAUAGCCUGUUGGCCAGUCAAGAUUCAAACCUCCUUCUCCUGCAUUGUGUAAGUACCAAAUACUAACUUCCUUCUCCCAAGCAUAUAUAAUAUUUAUGUUUCCGCUGCAUUCUCUAUAACAGUGGAUGCGUAUCUAGCAAAUAACGUACCAAAGAGUGCAAUUCACCCACAUCCACAUCUUCUAUAGCCUCAAAGUUUCUUGUUUAUGCUUAAUAUAUUACAAAAGAGUUUGAGUGUGUUUUUAAUUUGUUUUUUUUUAGAGUUUUUACAACUUUAUAAAAAAUCAUUUCUAAUUAGUAACAUACCAAAAAGUGCAACUCACCCGAAUAUUUUAUAGCCUCAAAGUUUGUUGUCUCUUCUUAAUAUAUUACCAAAGAGUUCUAGUAUGUUAUUGAUAUCUUUUUUGAGAGUUUUUACAACUUUUUAAAAAAUUAUUUCUAAUUAGUAAAAUUUAGUAGUUAAAAACUGGAAUUCAUUUUGAGAGUUAAGAAGUUUUUAUAGUUUGGUUUUAAACAUUUUAAUAUACUAAAAUUAAUUGAUAUUUAUAUAGAAUAUGAAUACGUUGAAGGUGUUUUAAUUAUAAAGAACUCAUGGUGAAUAGUGAUCUCUGUCUAUGAAUAAUGAAUUUGCCUUGUGUUUUAGCUUUUUUAAAAAAACAAUUAAUUAAUUAAUUACAGUAGUAGUAUUGUUAUUUCAAAUCUUUUAGUUAGAUAAUAUAUACUAGCAUUGGUGUGUGCACUUCACCGUUGGGCAGGGCUAUAUUCUUUUUGUACAAAAAAUGAUGUUUAGAAUAAGAAACCUGAUUAUGAAAAACAUGUAACCCGAUCAAUGCAACUGGGACAUCCAGGCAAACUCGUUAUUCUAAACAUAAGAUUCGAAUAUUUUAAUAAAAAAAUAAAAAGUACUAUAAAGUUUUUUUUUUAAAAAAUCAUGUUAACGUUUUAAACUUAUGAACCGAGUCAUUAGAUCCAAAACAUUUAAUUCAGAAAAACAUUCAGAAAAACCAUGAAGUUUAAUUACCAGUUAAUUAAAUAUUGAAAGAUAAAAUUGAAAAAAAAUAUCUUAAUUAUACAAAAGGAUUUAAAAAUACAAAUAAAAAGAAUAAGGAUCAAAAUUAAAAUAUAAAAUAAAUCUAAUUUUUAAUUGAUGGGUGAAAUUGAGAAAACCAUCAAUUUCAUCAAAGGAUAAUUUUUUUAAAAAGAAUACGGAUCAAAAUUAACAUAAAAAUAAAAACAAUGUUUAAUUAAAGAGUGAAAUAGAAAAGAGUAAUAAGUUUUACAAAAGGGCCAAUAAAGAAAUUAGAAAUAAAAAUAAUAAGGAUCAAAUUGGAAAACAUAAUACCAUUAAUUUGAAUUGAAAGAUUAAAUUAAAAACCACUAAAACUUUUAAAAAAGAGCCAACAAAAAAAUUCGAAAUCUAAAGAAUGAGUACCACAUAGAAGAAUAUAAUUUUUGAUAAAUUGAGAUUGAAUGAUGAAAUCGAAAACCGAUAAAAUUUCUACGAAAGGGUCGAGACCAAAAAAUAAAAAUUAAAAAAGCAAGGACUGAAGUUGAACCAAACUGUAAUUUUUUAAGGGAGGGAGAGAGAAGAAGAGGAAAAAAAAGGCUCACCGGUGCAAAAUCAGACCACCAAUGGAGACACUUGUGGCUCCAUUAGGAAAAGAAUAUGACAACACUUCCAACGACACGAUGAAAAGAUACUUUUGGAUUCUAGAAGGCAUCGCACACACCGUUUGAAAGGCACAAGCGCCUCCCAUCCACCAACGAGUGCUAUACAUGUGCAUCCAUUUUUUUUUAAAUAACAAAAUACAGAAUUUCCAUUGAGUUGAAUUUGUAGUUAUAAAAAAACCAAUGUGAAAAGCCAACAAAAACCCCUUGAUCUCUUGCUUAUUUUUUAAGGGUAUUUUUGUAAUUUCAUGGUGCAUUUUAAUUAUUUAUUACCUUUUGUAUUUGUGCAAAUACCAAAAUGCAUCUUAGCUUAAAUUAUAAUAGUUAAAAAAACCAUUUUGUACAAAAAUACACCUUGAUGUCAAGUUUAAUUUUUUCUUCCAAAAAUAUUUGAGUCAUUUCAUUGUGCAAUUAAAAAGAAAAAAUAUUUAUUUGUCCCGACUAUAUUUGAUAAUGACAAAUAGACCACAUCAAAAGACUUCAAUGCACUUAAAAACCCUUGUUAAAUUUCUUGGGUGAAAGAAAAAAAAAACAUGAGAUUAUUCCAAUGAACACUCAUAGAAAUACUCUCAAUUCCUUUCCUUUUUUCAUUCUACCAACUUAGAAAAAUAUGUUUGCUAAUAGAGAAAACAAGAGGAAUUGGGAUGAUUUUUAUGAUUUUCUUUUUCAAUUUUCCAGGACAACCCUAAUAAAGGGAGGCAUUGAAAAAACAUGAUGUUUAGGGUGCAAAAUAAGAGUUUUUUAGUUUAGAAAAGUAUUUGUUUUUUUUUUCCACUUAAAUGCAAUGGGGUUCUUACAAUUUGGCCCAAGAAAUAAGUAGCUCAACCAUUAUCAGAGAUUUGAGUUGUAAAGGAUGGACUAUUAGCCAAUGAGAAUGGGAUUAUUAUUGAGUAAGGCAAGUCUUUGGAGUUGCAUAAACAUUUAAAAUUAAUCAAAUGCUUCCGAAACUGAUAUUGAUAGCAACAUCACCAAUAACCUUCACUCUAAAUUUAAUUUGUUGUGAGUUGUCAAUCAAUAUUACAUAUGAAAAUAGUGUUUAUAUAUAUAUAUAUAUAUGGAUACAGCAUGCACGAGCAAUGCCCUAAAGCGUCAAUGCGUUCGAAACCUGCAAUUAAUUCCUGGUAAUGAUUUAGAGAUUAUUAUCUGAUUUUUAAUAUGGUAACUAAUGUGAGAAGAUAUAUAGCAACUAGAUUUGUUCACGCAAUUAGUUAAAAUUUUGAGAAAAAAUAUUUUAAAAUGAAAUAAUAAACCUAGCUUAUGAUUAGAAUACCAAACGAGAUUAUUUUCACCUUUUAAAAAUGAUGUGAGGAUACCCAGAUUAGAAAAAAUAAAUUGUGAUCAGAAGGGGUAAAAAAACGAGAUUAUACGUCUUAAGGAUCAGCUGAUCAGCCGGCCAUAUAUUACAUAUCUUUGAUUAAUGAUGCCAUUAAUAAGUAUUUCUUUAGUGCUUAUUAAAACCCACAAUUCCAAAAGAUAUUAUUGGACCACAAAUAUUUCCAAGCCAGCUAAAGGCAUACACUGGACCACUGCCUUGACUAUCAAUUUAGCGACAUAUUGCAACAGCAGCCCACCACCUUCCUGCCAAAAAAUCUCACCUUUUUUUUCUUGACAAAACCACGCACUCAAAGAUGCUUCUUCUAUUACUCUCACAUGACCAAAAGCAAUCCCCUUCUACAAAUACAAGCUCCAAUGACAUGGCGCUGCUGAACUGUCACUUGGAUGUCUAGGUGGCUGAGCCACAUGGCAGUCAGUUUUCCAAAAUGUUUUUGGAGAAAUUCAAAAUAAUUGGCCUUCAAGUGCCUUUUCUGGGCGUACGAUCAUAACAAAAUUUCAUGAACUAGUUUUAAUAUUUUGAGUAUAAGUUCAUAUAUAACCGAUAUUUAGAUUAGAUAUUCAAAACAUCUGGUGAUUAUAUGAUAAUGUUUAACAUAUGAGGUUUUGCAAUAAUUUGUUAAACCGAAUGCUUCGAUUUAUGUAUCUAAUCUGAAGCUGUUCUUCGAAAGUUUUUCUUCAUUCUUUUUACAUUUUUUAGCAAUUUAGUAAAAAGCAUUGCCUUUACUCUUAACACAAAGGCCUCAAAAAGCCCCACAAUUGGGCAAUACCGCCUGUCAUAGGCAUGAGGCCAUGCACACAGCACAACCCUUUAUCCUUUCGUCCACAAUCCUCACGUGGUUGACUUGUGUCCAAAUGAGUCCACCACUUUCUCUUCACUAGUUCCUCCUCUAUAUAAGCACAACCUCUCUUCCACAUCUAAGGCACAGCAAAACCAAUAUUUCUUUCUUCGUAGUCCGAAUCCCUUUCUUCUCUCCAAAUUCAGUACAUUGAAAAAUGAGUCCCUUGUCGAAGACCAUUAUUGCCUUUUGUACCAUUCACCGUCAUGCAGAUGGAGACGAUGAUGGUGAGUAUGGAUAUGAUUAUGCACCAGCAGCAUGCAUGGAAGGUGACGGAGAUGAUGAUGAUAGUGAUUAUGACUAUGCUCCUGCAGCGCCCAUGGAGGGUGACGAUGACGAUGAUGGAGACUACGAUUAUGCUCCUGCUGCCUAGUUAAUUAUAGAAUUAUAUUUAGCUCAUAAUAAAUCACAGUACUAAACUUUGUUAGCUUGCUCCAUGCACUAAUAUUUGUAUGGCUUAAUGCCCUAAAGUUUUUGUAGGUUAUCGUGACUACAUUAAUUAAAGCUCUUAAUUAUGUUACCCAAAGCUUUUUUUUCUCUUUAUUUUAAUGGCAUGUUCAAUUGAUUUUAGUUUUUUAGACGAUAAAUUCUUUCGAGAAACGCUUUGAAAUAAAGUUCCAAAUCUUAAGACUUCAAAACGAAAUGAAGGUGACCAUGAUGACUAGUGAUCCGGACUUGCUCGAUGAAAUCAUUCACUAUUCUCCCUUGAAUCCCAGUUGUUUCUCCUGUUUCAUUCAUCUUCUUCAAUAACAAUUUUGUCAAUAAAAAGUGACCUGAAAAGAUUCCAUCCAAAGUCUAUCCUAGAAGCACUAGGAUUUAACUUCAGGUUCUCUCUAGCUAGAUAUUUUCUUGUGAUGGUUAUUUUUGUCUUGCUACUUGCAGGUAUUCUUGUCUCGUUUAGACAGGCCUUCAUCCUGUUUACAAUAAAGGUGGUUCCAUUUCAUAUACUCACUCUCUCUAGGUUACUAGUUGUUUUCUUAUAUCGAAGGGAAAAUAGGUUAUGAAUCAGAAGAAGAAGAAUUGGAGAUAGUUGCAUAUCUAAAUGAAGAUGUCCAAGAGAAGGUAUCUUUCUGUCUUGUCGGCAUGGACUCAAAAAACCUUCAAUGCCCAAGCAACGCUUCAGACGAUGCUUUCGGUAUGGAAUACGAGGAAAGGAGUUAAAGCAACCACGUUUGGAAAGAAUAUGUUUGCAUUGUUAUAAUAUCUUGUAUGCCAAGUAGAUUAAAAAAAAAAAAAGGAACUUUUUCUCAUAUUAAAAAUGUAAGAGGUUUUGUUGUCAUUCAUCAAUCAAUGAGAUGACUUGAAAAGUCAUUUAUCCAACUGUGAUAGUGAAAAUAUAUUUUCCUUCUAACUCAUUCCAUUCUUACUUCUAUCUUUUCUUUUACUUUAAGUUUUUAUAAUUUCUAAAAACUACCAUGUUGAAAACCCCGAACUAGUUUUGUAAUUCUAAUCUAAAAAGAAAAUUUCAUUCUAGGUAUUUUUCACCAUAAGCUUCUUUUUCCUUUUCUACUUUAAACAGAAAUAUAAACCUUAAAAUUGUCAGAUCUAUCUCUAAAAAAAGGGAUGUAAUUGCCUUUAAAAAAGAGUUCAGGUUUCAACCUAAGAUGAAGAGGAGAAGUAGGUUAAAUAGGUCUAUCAUACUGGGCCUAGGAACUAAAAAGGGUGGAGUCCCAGCUUCCACCUUAGGUAGGGGGGAGUAGUUCUCCUAUUAUUGUCAGUGAACCUCAAGGGAGAGGAAGGUUGCCUCAGGUCCCUAAAGAUGAUACCCUAAGCACUUUAAGUGUGAAGGACAUUGAAUUCGUUAAUGCUUGGAGGGUAGGAGAGUACACAAAUCAAAUAUAUACAGAGGCUGAGCAUAUCAUCCAAACGACCUUGGGCUCUACUCAGAGUUAUUUUAAAAUUACAACACUUUUUACAUGUAUGCAAUGGGGUAAACCUUUUCUCUUCAAGGAUUUAUGAGAGACGUUUUUAGAUAUUAUUAGUUGGGUUUAGGCCAGCGGCAUUCUAAUAGGUGGAUAAUCUUAUCCAUCUUUGAAAAGUUUUUUAGGCUCAUUGGAAUUGAGCUUAUAGUUAGUAUCUUUAAGACUUGUUACCAUUUGGUUACUGGUACCGAUGAUGAUAAUGACAUGCCUUGGUUCUUUACCUUCGCCAACAGACCCACUAGAGCUAUGGAGGGAACCAUGUAAGGAAAACCUGCCUAUGUCAAAAAAUGAAGGGGAAGGUGGCUGAUAGUAAGAUGUAAUAGGCCAGUCAACCUAAAAAUAGGAUGCAACAAAUUUCUAGUUGCUCCUACUUUUGGAGGGUACCUCCCCUUAAUGUCAAUAAUAGACGUCAUCUGAGCUCUGAUUAGGAGAACAUAUAUGUUGUAUUGGAGUCGACCUUAACCAAGUAGGAAGUCAAUAGAAUGGCUAGAGGGCACUAAAAGGGCCCUGUUACAAAGAAUGCAGCUUCCUUACCCUUUUGGUUUUUAUUACAUCUAUGAUCACUGCUUACUUUAUUUUUAUGCAGGAUUGAUAGCUAAAGGAGAAUAAGAGACUUCAGCAAAGUCUGCAGAGAAGAAUUCACUAAGAGGAUCUUUAUCUAGUACCUUGAGUAGAGGUAAGACUAAAGAAGAGGUGAAGGGUCACACUAUUAUCAUUAAUGAGCUUUUUUUCCUUGAGGAAGCAAUGGUAGAAGCUAAAACUCAUGUGAAAACAAAAGUUAAGGGUAGCCAUACUCCCCUGUCUAGAAGUUAAACAAAUCUAACUUCUUUUAAAGUGAUUACAGAUAUUAUUCUUUGCUUUGAGAGGAAGAGAGUCUUCACCUUUAUGAAGAUCAAUGUUUCAGCCUUGACUGUAUUGGCUUUUAUGGUGGCAUUCUUUCUAUCUCAACUUCCAGCUUUGUUUAUAAAGGUUGUAGCAGUCAGGCCCUCUACUUGGGCUAUUAUUGAGGAAGCUGAGUUUGAGGAUGUUUUCGCCAACCUUGCUCUUAGUCGGGCUCCCUUCAAUGUCCCUACCUUGACUGAGGAGGUGAGGCAACUUAUGGAGACUAUUGUUGGUAAAAGGUCAGGCCUUCGAAAGGCUGGCCUUGAGGUGGUGAGACUAUUGGAGAGGAUUCUCACCAUUCCAUCAGACAUCUUAAUGAUGUUUGAUGAGAGCUACUACCAUUAUUUAGUUUUAACGAAUCAAAUAACCUUUAAUGUAAGGAACUUUCUCUUUUCACCUUUCAAUUUGUUCCUAUGACUAUUGUUCUUAACACUUAUUCUUAAUAGAGUUUCAUGAUAUGCGCUCAUUUCAAGAGGCGUUAAAUGGUUGAAAGGAUCCACGUAAGGGAAGCCAUUGCCACAUAAGACAAACCAGACUGCCUUCCAGCAGCUAAAUGAGGAAAAGGUUGUUGUGGAGGCCGAACUAAGGAGCCUCAAUAUGGUUUAUUCAUUGUUGAAGGGAAAAAAAUACAAGGCUUUGUUCUUUAGUUGGGCUCUAAUAAUAAAUUGCUUCAAGCCGCUUAUAACCAUAUGGAUACUCUGAAAUGGAAGAUCCUUAAGAUGAAUACCACCUAAGAUAGUAUGAGGGCUGAGCUUUUUGCUACUAGGAAAGAAGCUUGAAGUUCUCGAGCUCAACUUGAGGCUUUGGGGAAUUCUUCUGAAGAGUUCUAGGAAUUUUUUGAGUGGUUUGCAGCUUUAACCGAGAUUAUUGGGGACAAGAUCUUUCUUGCCAUGUCCAACCUGUGUUUAUUCAAUGAGUUAAUGGAAUAUAAAUGGACUUUAUUGUUUCCUUUCAUCAAGUCUCAGUGCCUGUUUUAUGGAUGUGUUCCCUGUCAAGAUUGUUGCUACCCAACAUGAGGAAUAUCUAGCUGAGGAGUUUGGGCUACAUAUCUAAGCCUUUUUUUCUCUUAUCCCUUUACUUGUGUACACAACAACCCCAGUUUAUCCGUGUAACAUAUAUUUUUUAUUUUAUAAAAUUUGAUUAUUUUCAUUUCAAUGUUAACUUGUGUGCAUGGAACUAAUGUUUAUAGUAAAAAUUCCAAAUAGGAUUGAAGGCCCUUAGGAAAAGUUUGAAAAUUUAUAUAGGUGCAAUGCCCAUAAUUAGAAAAAUAUUUAUCAAAUUUGAACUAUGAACUUUGUUUAACCUCAACGAUUUAGGAAGGAUUUAUCCCUUGUUUGGAACCGAGAGGAAAUCUUGGUUUUAGAUAUAUUCUUGUGAGCCUGGAUGAAUCUGUAGUAAAUUGUUAAAAAGCCUCCAGAAUGUGGGUGGAGAUUGAUUUUGUUAAAUUGAGAGGUUUCAAGUUUGAUCCAUUGGGGAGUUUAGGGUUAUAGUCCUUAAAAAGGCGAAGCAUUAUUACUGAGGCAAUCUAUCUCAUCCUUGGAAAAAUAUGCAAUCGCACUAGGUAGAUCACGCUCAUCCCUUCCAAGAUAGAUUAUGCAAUCACAUUAAGGAGGCUUUGAUCCUUUCUAAGGUAAGUUAUGUAAUCAUACUAGGAAGAUCGAGUUCAUCCUAUCAUUGGAAGGUUGUGAGGCUAUUGCCUAAGGGAGAUGUCGUGCCAAUCCUAUCCUUAAAGAAAUAUUGCAUUGCACUAGGGAAACCAUAUUUAUCCUUUCUGAGGUAAAUUAUGUAAUCGCUCUUGAGAGACUUCAAUCCCUUAGAUGGUAAGUUGUGCAAUUGCACUAAGGAUACGAAUUUUAUCUCGUUAUUGGAAGGUUAUGGGGCUGUUGUACUAGGGAGAUGUCGUGUCAAUCCCAUCAUUGGAGAAAUAUGCAGUCGCAUUAAGAAGACCAUGUAAAUCUCUUCCAAGAUAAAUCGUAUAACCGUAUAGAGGAGACUUUAAUCUCUUUCAAGGUAAGUUGUGUAAUUGCACUAAAUAAAUUGAGUCCAUCCUAUCCUUGGAAGGUUGUGGGGUUAUUGCCUUGGACAUAUGUCAUAUCAAUCUCAUUCUUGAAGAAAUGUGUAAUUGUAUUAGGGAGAUCAUGCCAAUCUCUUUCAAAGUAAAUUAUGCAAUCACACUAGGAAGCCUUUGAUCCCUUCGAAGGUAAGAUGUGCAAUUACACUAGAAAGACUGAAUCCAUCCCAUCUUUGGAAGGUUGUGGGGUUGUUGCCUUGGAUAUCAUCUAGAGAGAAAAAAAACAUUGUUACUUUGAAUAAUUUAAUUUAUAUGUAAGAAACUUACAUUCUUAGCCAUUGACUAUGGUAUAUCUUUAUUGCCCUUUGAAGUAUAAUCAAUUCGAUGAUAUUUCUAUUGAGAUCAUGGUCUCAGUUCUAAGUGAGGAGAAAAUAGAUUUUCUCCAGUAGAUGUUUUUUAGGUGGUUGCCAAAAAUACUUCUUAUUUUGUACAGUUUGAACCAACACUUCAUUUGGCCUUGUUGGAAACUUUUAAACUUUUAAAGUUCCAACAACAUUUAUGAAGUCGAUGAAGAUAUGUAGCCUAAAUUUGCUUAUCCCACUAAAUCCUCCAGCAAAUAGGGGAAAUCUUGUUGACUUGGACCAACAAUCAUGCUACAAAGCCCUUUAAUUCCUAUAAACAGCGUGCAUCCCAUAUACAUAGUAGACCAUGCGUUUUAAUCUAAUUUGGAACAUUAUUGGUCAUUAAAGUAUUAUUUCCUCAUGAUUAUAAGAAUGUACAUCAUCCUCUUAGUUGAGUGAUGUUAUAGCUUUUUGAGUUUUUCUUGGCUAAUAUAGAUAAAGGAUGUUGAAACGUAUGAUAUAGGUUGGUUCAAGGUUUUCAUAUCAGGCUCAUUGGGCCUGAUUGUCCCCUUAAACAACUAUCGUUAUUCUAAUGAGAAAUCGAUCAUGAUUGAAGAGUUAUUGAUGUUCUAAUAAAGUAAUCAUGCCAAUAGUUAUAAGGAUGCCUGUCAGAUGUUCCAUUUCAGGUGUGUUGUGAAUGUCCCUCAUUAAUAGUGAUUAGGGUUGUCAAAAACCAAUUCUAGAAAAAUAGUUAAUGGCUUUUUUAUUUUUCCCACAGACGGUGCUAAUUGAUAAUGUCCUAAAAGAUCCUACUAGCUUAGGAGUAAGGCUUAUAACUUGGAUAAUCCUUUAAUCUCUUGGUUCUAGCAAUCUAAUCCAUUCUCCCUAACCAUGGUGAUUAAUGGCUAAUACCUAGUAUUCAAUAAGCCAAGGUAGUUAAUAUUUGGUACCUGCAAAAGGUCCCUUUUUCUAAAUUUAAGAACUCUCCAAUGUUUAAGUAAAUAUAUUUUAAGAGAAAAGACAAUAAUAUUUUAGAGAGAGACUGUGAAAAAUAAAUAUGUUAUCAAGCAUGGAGAUUCAGAACCCCUUCUUUUAAGUGUUCAAUGGGUUUUUAUGGCCCAUGAUUCUUAUCUUUUUAUGUAGAUGAGGGCUUAAAAGUCAUAUUUCCCUCAUAGUAUUUAAUAUCUUUUAUAUGUCAAAGAGAGAAAAUAUAUAUGACUCAUCAUAAUCUCAUGGUCCAACAUGGAACCUAAUAAGAUUACUAGAGCCACAUGUACUUGGACUCAACACUUGAAUGAGCCUGAGGAUGUUCGAAGUGGUAGCUCGUCAAACCCGUGUAGGUUUAGGCUCAAUGCUUGGCAACUCCUACCUAACAGUUUUGUGAAAACUCAAUGUGUAUACAACUUUUUGUUCUACAAGUCAUGGGCUUGGAGUAAUUGUUAGAGAUCAUCAUGGAUAAAUUCUCUUUAGUUCUCAUAAAAGGAUUUGGCCUUAUUUAUUUGUUGUUCUUAGUGGAGCUUAAGCAAUGUUAAAGUUCAUGAGAUAGGUUUUGGGCGAGAGGUACUGGAAUCAAAUUGCUUAUCACUGAUAAAUUUUUAGAGUUAACAGCCUAGGAUGAUGAUUAUAUCAGAGUCAUUACUAUGAACAUAGCUGCCACAACAUCUCUCUUUCAAAAUCUUCAGCAUAGGUAUAUUACUAAAGGAUAUAAUAAAAUGGCUCAUAGUUUAACCAAUUUGAGAAAACUUGUAGAACAUGAAAUUUUUAUCAUAGAGCAUGUCUCAUCCUCUUUAUCUAUUAUGAUUGCUAUGAAUGUUUUCUUCUUUUUUUCCUCAUAUUAAUUCAAUUUUGAAAACUGAAUUAUAGAAUUCUAUAAGAAUCAUAGGCUAAAGUAAAAGUAUUAAAAUGAAGAAAAGAAAAAAUUUAGUUGACAUGAGAAGUACAUACACCAACAAGCUAGCCAUACUCAAUCACCAAUAGGUGCGUGUGGCUCACCUUUUGCUUCAUUGGUGGCCUGCCUUAUUGUAUUUAAAAUCUUGUUAUCAAUAUCUUUAUAAUAGUGUCGUCCUUGUGUUAAUCUGAAUUCCAAUAUGUCUUCGCAUUCUCUUUUCCUUCUCUUAUAAUCUUUUCCCUUGAAAUAUGCGCCGCUACUUCUCUUCUCAUCUCCCACUCGUCAGCUUCCUUUCUUCGGAUUUUGUUCUUCCCAUUUGACCCAAACGGAAGUGAUGUUUUGCACCUUUUGUCGUUUGGGCCUAGCCCAAAUGCAUGGCUUUUCUUCUUUUUUUUCCAUCACCGGAUGCAUCCCUUUUCACUCUGAAUGAAAUUCGGAUCAUUAUAAGUAAAUAAAUGAAGAGACGUAGACUAGUAUUUGGUGCAUCAUACUGUUUGAGCUUUGUUAAAAUAAUUAAUUCGUUAAUUCGGAUCAUUAAGACAAUGUUAAUAUCUAAUAACCUGCUUCACAUUCCAAGCAACAAGUCCUGAGUAACCAAAGUUUUCUGUACAUAAAACUUAAUAAAUUAUAUACUAAAUUUACAUUUGUUUCUACGAGAAAUGGCCUAGCUGUCCUCGCAUAAUGGAAAGUUUUCAAUCCAUCCUUAUAUUUUUUUUAUUGUACGUAUUUAGUCCCUAAAUAAUUUAUGUUUCUCCAACAUGCCCUUCUAUCUAUUCUAUCUAUUUUUUCAUCCAAACAAACAGAAAAGUGUCAAGAAUAUCCUUUAUUCUAAAUAGAAUAACUGGCUUACAUUUUGAAGGUUGUUUUCAACAAGUUCCUAUGCAUAUAAUUGUAUCAGUUAUGCUUUUAAUUCUUAGUUAAGAUAUUCAAAAGAGCGUAGUUCAUAUAAAAAUUAAACUUGUAAAUCAUGUGCAAUUCACUUGAAAAUUUUUAGAUAAUUUAAAUUACGUCACAAUUUAGGACAUUGUUUUUAUGAAAAAAAACGACCUACAAUAUCUUAAAAAUUAUGAGACAAACAUGUAUUAUUAGGAUUUAAUGUUUAUUUUAAAAACAUGUUUGUUUGUCAUGUAUUAACUAGACAUACAAAAAAGGACAACUUGUGUAUUGGUCUCGCAUUUCUAAGUUAAUAAGAGUAGAAUUGUUUGGUUUUAAAAACUAAAUUUAUAAUUCAAUUUCCUAUUUAAAAUAUAAAGAUAGAUGUGUUUCUUACUAGGUGAUCAUUUUCGGUUCGGUUUUGUUUUGUUUUUAUCAAAAAAAAAAAUCAAACCGAAAUUUAUAAAAAAAAAAACCGAAACCAGUUCAAACCGACCGGUUUCGGUCCGGUUCGGUUUUUUUAGAAGAAAAACUGGUUCAAACCGGUUUGGCAUAGGUUUUUUCAGUUUGGCUCGGUUUGACUCGGUUUUUCCGGUUUGGCUUGGUUUUUUUCCGGUUUUUUCAGUUCGGUUUCGGUUCGGUUUUUUCAGUUUCAUGCUUAUAAAACCAAACCGGUCGGUUUUUUUAAAAUUUUAAUUAGUUUUUUUUUCACGGUUCGGUUUUUUCGGUUAAUUUUUUUUUAGUUUUCUCUAUUUAAUUAGUUUUUCAAUUUUUUUCUCACUCCUACUUCUUACUCUGUUUGAAAUAAAAGUAACUAUUUACAUAAAAAAUACAUCAUGAGUAAGUCAUAUGACUUUUAUGUUAGCUUUGAUAGAAAAAUAGACGAAAUGACAUAUUAGAGAAAAAUCAUUUAUUUAUGGAUGAAAUUAACACAAUUCGAAAAUAAGUACAAAUUAAAAACUCUCCCCAUUAUACAAAGACAGAAUAGAUCAUUUCUUCUUGUUUCCAAUAAAAAAAAACAACGUCAAUAUAAAUACAUUAAUAUAGAGAUAUUGAUUCAAUGAAAAAUUAUAUAUUUUUAAUUAAUAUAUCAAUAUGAUUCAAAAAAAUGGAUUAAUAUUAUUACCCUUUAGGUAGAUGAGUUCACUUAAUGUGUAUGUAAAAUAUAUUUUACAAUAGCAAUAUAUAUAUAAAUAUAUAAAGAAAAAUUGUAGUUUAUCAUGUUAUAUUUUUGUGAUAAAUAAUAGAUUAGUUUGAUAAAAAAAAAACAAGAAGUUUAUUAUUUUUGGCAUAAUUAUUUUUAGUAUAUUGGUUCUUUAAUUGUUAAGAUUUCUAGGUUUUAAGUAGUUCUGAAAGAUUUCAUUUUCACAAUCUUUUCUUUAUUUGAUUAUUUGAUGGCUAAAUUUUUGCUAAAAUAUUUUAAAGACCUUGUUCCAUCAAAAAUUAAAAAUAUAGCUUUAUCCAAGUCAAGAACAUGUCCAGAUUUGAUCCAAAGAUUAUUGCUCGUUAUUUUGUUUAAUAUUUUUCUUUGGAUUUCUUUUCAUAAUUAGAUUAAAAUUUUUAAUUUAAUUUUUAUUUUACUAAUUAAAAUGAAUAUUUUAAUUUAGGUUUUGUUUUUUUUUUGUUUUUUGCAUGAUUCUCUCCAAAAUAAUAAAGUGUGUUGUCAUUUUGUUUUGAUAUCAAAUUUGAUGCUCAUUCUUGUUAAUUAUAUUUUUAGCAACAAUUAUAGUUCGGUUUCAUAAAAUUAAUGUUCAAUAAAAUUAAAAUACAUGCAUGAUUUUUUUUAUUUACAUUUAGAAUUUUUUAUGUCGAAAUAUUGAAAUAGCAUACAAUUUAAUUUUUUUUCUCAAAAAACUUAUCCGACCUAUGAUGGAGUGCUGGAAAAUAGUUAGUACUUUAAAUGGUUAAAGAGUGAUGCAUGUAUUAGUUCACUAAAGAGUUGCAAAAGUAGUUGUGAAGUUUCUUUCAGCUUGCAUAUAUCCAGCAUGUCUAUUAUGACUAUAUAUUAUAGGCUAUGCAUGACAUGGCCAUGCCAGCCUCUAAAUGACUCUAUCAGUCAAUCAUGCCAAGCGGUAGGCCUAGCAGAAGAGAAAUUUGUUGCCCAAAACUUGACUAACCUAGCAUGUCUAACAGGAGACUUUGACUCCAAAACUGGCAGAAGAGAGAUCGUUGGAUUGAUUUCCAUACACGAAAAACAAAUUUCUCUUAAUGGGAUCUUAAGCAAAUUCUAUUUCUAUAUGAUAACCUUUACUUGUCCAAAUCAAGCCUCGAGAAUGCAUGUACAAUUUCUAUAAGAUGCAAAUUCUAUUUCUUGACUUAUAUUUGCCUUCUGGAAUUUUCUCUACAAAUUUUCUAAUUCAAUGAACUUCCCCAAAUUUCUAUUCUGCGGUGGUAUCAAUGGACUACACAGCACUAUUCUGGGCAAAGGAUAUUAUAUUAUUGGACUCCAUGUUUAUUAUAUAAACUUGAAUUUUGUAUGGCAGCACUGCACCAUAAUUACGUGGAAAUGGGAAGAAACAAUACAAUGAGUACUGAAAGGAAAAUAAAACAGAGGAAACAUCGUUUCUGUGGGAGUGUUCCCCUUCCUAGACAUCAAUUUGAGACGCAUCGGUAGGGUAUGUAUACAUUUGACAUCAAUCACAAUUACAUUUGACUCGAAAACUGUUUUUUCGUGUAUUUUUAAGCAAAUUAAGAGGGGAGAAGGGUCCCCAGGGAUAACUAGCUUGGCUUGAUAUGUAGAGGCAUGAGGAUGACGGUAUGCAUGGUAGGACACACACGGCAUUAUGGAUCCAUGAAAGUAAGAAUUUUUAAAAAAUAAAAAAUAAAAGGGAACAUAUUCUUACUUUCUCUUGCAGCCUUAAUUAAUAUACCCUUUUCUUAAUUUUUUAAGGAAAAAUUCAACGAAAUACAGCUAGUCUUGACGACUCUUGGCUAUAACUAAAGAACGAAAUUACCAAGUUGCAUCCGUUCAAACAGAAGACCUCACAGUUGCAAUUUCAUUGGAAAACAAAGGCUCUUAGCUGAAACCAAAGAACCAGACAUCUGUAGCAAAGAAGCCACUCUCUGGCUCAUUAAAUUAAUAGAUAUAUACAAAUGAAAAUGUUGAUGGAAAAUAUUUUAUUAGUAAUUUUAGAUAAAAAUAAUAAUGGCCAAUAUUAGGUAAUUUUCGGUAAUUUUAGGUAAUUUUCGACCUCCUUGCAAAACAAGCAAAAGAGGUAUUCCUAAUGACUGAUUGACCAUACGGCAUCGAUUGACGAAAUAAAUUCGGGUUGGGCCCCAUCUACUACCAAUACUCCAUUUCGCCAUUGAGUGGAUCCCACUUACCACUCCUCGCAUAUUUUUUUAAUUUUUUUUCUUGUAUGUUUAUUCGAUGAAAAAUAACUUUUUAAAAAGUAGUUUUAUAAAAAAAUAAAGUUUGAAAAAAAAUAUUUUCUGCAAACAAACAAUAACUUGAUUUUCAAAGAAUUUUGCAUCUCAGAACUAGUUAAUUGCACUCUCUGCCCCCAUCUACAAUCGAAUUAAUAUAUUAUAUUAAAUGAAGAUAAUUUUAUUUAUUGUGCUCUUAUAUUUAAUUGCAAGAUGAUAAAGUGGAAACUCGUUUACAAAUAACUUAUUAAAUUCUAUAUAUUCUAAUUAAAAAAGAAAUUUGCUUUGAACUAAGUUAAAUAGCUACAAUAUUUAUCAAAUUAAUCAACACUAAUCCAUUAAUCUCUUAGCUGAAAAUAGAUAAAUACACUGAAAUCCACAUAGUUUCCCAUCAGUCUAUUAAUCUCCUAAAGGCUACAAAGAAAUUAAAUUGUGAAAGGUGUUCUUAACUUCUAAAACUGGCCUUCCCUGUAAUUGCUAGUAGUUCCUUGUAAGGAAGGAUGUAAUGUAGCUUUCAUGUAUCUAUCUGUUCAAUAAAAACUUCUUUGAAAUUUAAAAUUCAAACUAGCUACCCAUUGAAAUCUCAUUUAGAACCAAAAGCGAUCAAACAGGAAUAAUUGACUCAGAAUCAUGAUAACCCCAGCUGUCCAAUUUGAAAAUUCUUGGAUAAUCGAUGACUCUUUUGUUAGCCCGAGUGUGUCUUUGAUAAUGAGUUGCGUGCUUUUAUAAAUAUAUUUUUUAAUUAAAAAUAUAUUAAAAUGAUAUUUUUUUAUUUUUAUGUUAGCACUAAAAAACAAUUAAAUAUACUAAUUUAAUAUUCUUCAAGUAUAAAAUAAUUAAAAAGCAUUUUAAAAAGCAAAUGACUCAUUGAGAAUCAUAAAAAAAAAAUCAAAACAAAUUAUAAUACUCAAUUUCCAACCAACUUAAUGUUAAAAAAUAAAAAUAUUCAAUUCAAAAUACAAUAAAAAAUACCUGAGUAAAUUCAUAUUAAUCUGUCACCUUACAACCUUGUUUAUGAACCUCAUUAAAUGUAACAACUUUUUAUUUCUAAAAUUAUUCUUCAUCGCGAACCUAGUAUAUAAGACUUUUUUUAUAUUAAAUAAAAAUAUUUAAAAAAAAAUUGGCUUGUGGGAUUAAAUUAAAAAACAAUUUUAAUUUUUUAAAAGUGUGAUUAAGAAAAAAGGAGGCUUUUUUUCCAAGACAAAUAAAAAGGCUGCAGUGUUUUUAGAUCACAUUCUAGCGAGAGGUUUAUGGAUAAUUUAACAGAUCCAAUUAAACUUGCUAUUCUUUAGAGGUUAUUGAGACCGUUAUGAAUUCUUUAUCAUAUUUUGCUACCUAAUAAAUUUUGUUUAUACAAUCAGCCCAAGUUCCCAACUCUCACUUGCGAAAAUUCAAUCCUUUUCAUAUCAAAUUUUAAACAACCCAUUUAUAUGAAUGUAUACAAAAAAUACAUUGCUUGUAAUCUCUUGGGCAGAAGCAAAACUACUCAUUAUCCAAUCUAAUCUUGGGACAGAUAAAUUUUUGUGUCAACACCCAAAAAAAAAAAAAUAUAUAUAUAUAUAUGGGCGCGCCCGCGCAAGUGUUUAUAAUACAUUUUUUUGACACGGGGAAAAAAUUAUAAUAGUAAGUCAAAAUUUCUAUGUAUAUAUUUAAUUUAAUAAAUGAAGAAUAAUAUUUGUGAUAAUAAAUAAAUAAAAAAUCAUUAAUGAUAAUUAAAAACUAAAUUGAAAACUUGAGAGAUAGAAGUGUGUCAAGAUAUAUAAUUUCGUAAUAUAAGAAUUUUUUUUUAUAUCAAGAUAUAUGUCAACAAGGUGCAUAAGACCUUUUUUAUAUAUAUAUCAAGUAACAAUUUAAAAAAAAUGAAAAAAAGAAAGGAGUAGUGUGUGGGAUUGAAUUAAAAAAGCAAUCCUAAUUUUUUAAAAGUAUGAUAACAAAAAAAUAGUUUUUUUUUAAGGCAAGUAAAAAAAAUAAAUUUAAAAAAUAAAUGAAAAAAACAAUGAUAAUUUUUUUUUUAAUUUUAAGAGUUUAAAAACACAUUAAAAUAAUAAUAGGCUAGGCAUGUAUCCACUCGCCUUACCCUUAAAAAAAGGCCUGGCUUAUUAACUAGGCCCGUGAAAAGAGGUCUAGCCCAUAUGCCAGGUCUGUUUUUUCUUUCAAUAUCAGAGGGUGGACAACAUGUUGUCCUCUCUCUUGUUUUUUUAUAUUAAAUGAUAUAUGAUAUGUUAUCUGUUCUAUUAUUGUUUUUUAAAAAACAAAUAACAUCGACAACUCAGUAUCUGCUAGCUUAGUUUUCUAUGAUCAAAGGGUGCUUAAAAAAAUCAAGCUUAAGAUUUUUUUUCCUAAAAAAAUUUUUUUCAACCCAGAUUUUACCCAAAAUACCCUAAACACCUUGAUAAACUCAUCUAUGACCUCAAACAACCAAAAAAUUCAUCCAAGAAUCCGAAAUAAAAAAAACUUCCCUAGGUCAUUUCUACCAUCUUAGCAAGGAAUGAUAUGGAAUACCCGAGUAAAACUCUCCUCAUAAAAUAGAAACUGUCGACACCAAAAUCGAUUUUUUAAUGACAAGAAUCGAUGUUAACCAACAUUUUCUCUCUCUAUCAUCGAUAUCUGGCAAGUCUCUCUUCUCUCUCAUAUCAAAGACUAAAAAAUAUGAAAUAGAAAGUUUUGUACCAAAGUGAACAUUUUGCGACAACUUUGAAAUUGUCACUUAUCUUCCCUAAGUUUUUCACUUUUAUCAUUUAUCUUUUAAUCUGGCCUUUUCUAAACAAAGCAAAAAAAUUGAGUGUCAAUUUCACAAUAAAAGAAUCAUUUCGAAGAGAAAAAAAGUUCAGUUGCCAAAUUGAAAAAAAAAACAAGGAAAAAACAGUGUAAAUUUAUAUAGAAAACAUUUAUGCAUUUUAUUUUAUUUUAUUUUUUUAAUUGUAAUACAUUUUUUUUAUUUGGUUACAAUCAAACCUCAAAUCAAAUUAUAAAAAUAUACUAAAAGAGCUUAGCUUUUCAGUAUAGCAAUGAAGAAAAGCAAAGUACCUUUUCAUUUUGGUCCUCAAAAUUUUUUAGGACUCUUUUUUAAUUUCAAACUUUAUUUUAUUUUUAAUUUUAUCAUCCAACAUUGUGUUCAUUAGGUAUAAGACUUUAUAAUUUAUUUUGAUUUGUUUUGUAUAGAAUUAUGCUGGUCUUAUAACUUAGGUUGCGAGUUUUGUGGGCUAGCCGUGUCGACUUAAGUAAUUUUUUUUUCUAUUUUUUUUCAGUUUCAUCAUUUAACAUCCGAUUGAUUGAGAAUUAAAAUUUAUAUAUUUUUUUAUUUUCUUUCUGUAGAAUUAUCUCAAUCUUUCUGAUCCGGUUUUAGCAGAUUAACCCGAAUUGUCUAGAGGUAUAUUUUUGUUCUUUUUUAUUUGAUUUUUUUUCAAUUUAAUCCUUCAAAAUUUGACUGAUUGUGAAUUGAGAUUUAUAACUUUUUUUUCAUUUUUUCUAUUAGGUUAUCACGGUCUUAUGAUCCAUGUCCUAGGUUAGGGUGGUUGACUCAGGUUUUUUUUGUUAUUUUUUUAGUUGAUUUUUUUUUAAAUUUCAUCCUUUAAUAUUAGGUUGAUUGGAAAUUAAACUUUCUAAUUUAUUUUGAUUUGCAUUCUGUGAGGUUAUCCUGGUCUCAUAACUCAGGUCACAAGUUUGGUCAGUUGACUUUGGUUGACUAGAGUGAUUUUUUGUGUUCUUUUUUAGUUGUUUUUUUUUAUUUCACCCUUCAAUAUUGGAUUAAUAGGAAUUGAGUUUUAUAAUUUGUUUCAAUUUUUUUUCUAUAGGGUUAUCUCAAUCUUAUGACUCAUGUUUGAUAGAUUAACCCAAGUUGACUUGACUUAUUUUUUUAAUUGAAUUUUGUUUUUAAUUUCAUCACUUAACAUUGGAUUGAUUGAGAAUUGAGUUUAAUAUUUUUUUUGUUAUUUUCUUUCUAUAAGAUUAUCAUAGUCUCAUGAUCUAGAUAGAGAAUUUGAUAGAUUAACCCAAAUUGAUCUGAAUCGAUAUAAUAUGUUGUAAUUUUAAUAUUUUUUGAAAAAGGAUGUUAUCUUGAUUUUUUCAAGUCAAGCUAUAUUUUUAUUGAUCGUUCAAUAUUUUUUUGAAUCUAUUAAGUUAAUGAAAUUAUAUCAUAUCAAUUUUUAUAGUUUUUUUUAUUAAAAAUUAUAUUAAAAAUACUAGGAUAUUUUUCACAUUAAAAAAGAUUAAUUUGACUGACAACAUAGCGUGUGCAAUGAUAUAAUAAUAUAGAUAUUGGAAGGAAAUGUCAAAUUGAGAAAUCAGUCAAUCACAUGGCUGCAUAAUUCCCCCACACUUUGCUAUUUAAGAGGGCGUUUGGCAUUGCUGUUGGAAAGUACUUUUCAAAAAAUUUGAAUUUUUUUUUUUUUUUGCUUUGAAGUAAUAUGUUUUUGAUGUUUUCAAAACAUCUUGAUGUGCUGAUCUCAAAAAUGAUUUUUAAAAAAUAAAAAAAUAUUGUUGGCAUACUUUUCUGAGUGAAAAGCACUUUGAAAAGCAACCACAACCACACUCCCAAACACCCUAAGUCCAGCGAAGAAAAAUGCUGGCCAAUUCAAUACCUCAUACACGGCCACACCUACUUCAGUGGCAUUUAAUCUUACCAUUCCAGAAUGAUUCGAUUACUUUUUUUUAUUGUUCAUUUGUUUUUUUCACAGUCGAGUAUUUAGAUAUGUUUUAAUAGAAAAUCUAUAUUUUAAUUCAUUAAAUAAAAAUCAUGUAAUUAUAUAAAAAUAAUGAUAUUAUUAACAAGAAAAAUACAUUUUCAAUGUGGACUCGCUCUUCACAAGAUAACAAUAAUCAUUAUUCAUAAAUUUUAGGAAUUUAAUGUUAUCAUCAUGCCAACAAGGGGAUCAUUGUCCAUUCUUGCUAUAAGUUUGAACUUUUGAUAAUCUUUCAGCUUCUUGUUCAAGAUAGUUUUUUUUUUCAACUAUAACAGCUUAGACCCUUAUAAAAUUCCUAUAGGAUGACCAUUUGCUGCCCAAUGAUCUUAGAAUUCAAGAUGUCACAUGUUAGGCUUGUCAUAGUGAGAAUAUACAAGGUACAACCUAGUAGGUAGGUUCUACUCGUUAGGUGCAUCAAAAAGUAGGUUACUAUUUAGUUUCAAAAGAUCUCUCGCGUGCUUAGUGAUUGUCCUUGAAAUGUCAAUAUAAAUAAAUGUGAAGAUAAAGACCUUGAAUAAUAUCAAAUUCGUCAAAUUGACUUAUAAAAUUCCUAUAGGAUGACCAUUUGCUGCCCAAUGAUCUUAGAAUUCAAGAUGUCACAUGUUAGGCUUGUCAUAGUGAGAUUAUACAAGGUACAACCUAGUAGGUAGGUUCUACUCGUUAGGUGCAUCAAAGAGUAGGUUACUAUCUAGUUUCAAAAGAUCUCUCGUUGAAAUGUCAAUAUAAGGCUUACAAUAAAUGUGAAGAUAAAGACCUUGAAUAAUAUCAAAUUUGUCAAAUUGACUUUUAAAUUUAUAAUUCUCUCCUUAUUGGUUCCUGAACCUUUAAUUUGUAUUGUCUUUACUAAAUUUCCAAAUUAUUUUUCAUUUAUUUUUUUAAUAUGUUUUUGAAAAUUCAAAAAUUAGGUUAGUACACUCUAUACAAGGUAUCUUAGUGAUCUUAAGUCUAAGAAUCAUUUAAACAACUAUCACAUGAGUCUUUCUAUAGACAUAUGUAAUCUUUCUAUAUGAAAUUCUUAUAUAGGUUGGUUCAGUAUAUAUGUCGUCAUGUGAUAAGUACGUAUAAUUUUUACUUAACCAUAUAUGUUUUUCAUGAUAAUUUUUAAUUUGAAUGAAAUAAAAUUAAUAUUUUAAAACUUGAUUAUCACAAAUAUAAUAAUAUUAAGAUGAUAAUUAUAAAAUCAUGAUUUUGAUUAUUUUUUUACGAAAAAUGGUUGUAACAUUGAUGUAUUUUUUAAUCAAAAAAUCUGUUUUUAACUUUUAAAAAAUACAUUUUAUAAUUCCACAUUGAAAAAUAAAAAAUAAAAGAAAGAAAAAAGAAGAAAAAAGAAAAUAGUUUUCUUUCACUCACGUAAGUAUUUGAAAAAUGAGAAAUGCAUAGAAAAGGGAAAGAGAAGUUACUAUCGCUGACGCAUUUUGCCCGCCCAAAACCCAAAGUGGAAGGCAACCAUGACUGUUUUUAUGGGCUAUGACAUUGGCAAGCCUACUUGUUCCUUGCUUUCCCACUAUUGCCCAACCUGUGGACCAAAAUGAUAGUGAAAUCUGCUUCACAGAUCUUUUCUUACAAAUAAUUUUCAGACACAGAAAAUAGUGGAGUCCGUGGUCGAACUUCGUACGGUUGGACCACCAAGUUAUAUUCUUACAAUUUAAUUCCUGACUAGUCCGAGCUUGGACCAACUAAUCUUUCAACUUAUUUGACUAAAAUCUUUCCACAUAAAAUCUAAAGAAGACAGAUAUUGAGAUUGAUAAGUAAUACCAACUUCGAAGAGAGAAAAUGAUAGCUCCUCCUUUCUGGACACCGAUCGUUUCCUUUUCAAUUCAGUAGUUCAACCAAAGCCAUUAGCAUCAUGAAAGUAGAGUGUACCUUAAGAGACUUUCCUUCCGCCAAUGGAAAUAAAACUAAGGCAUGCUGAGUGCAAGCAUGGUCUGAUCUUGAAAAGAAGCAUAAAAAUAAUGAAGUUCAAAAUAAAGGGAGAGGAGCCGAAGUGACUGCAAAACAAGGGGAACUUUUCUACUCGACAGGUGAAAAAAGGGGAGCCCGCCGAGACAGAAACUCGUGGAAUUCUCUGUCAUUUAAUUUGUCUGUUCACGCAAGACACGUCAUUUUCCCUCAUCUCUUGAGCUUUUGUUUACUGGUUUGCACAGGCAAAAGAUUAUUAAAGACAUGAAAAGGAGGUGGGUGGGUGGUGGGUCGGUGGGGUUUAGUCCCUCAGUACGAUUGACUGUACGGCAUUUUAUGGAGCUGCUGACAUGGCUCAUAGCUUGGUUGUGGACCUUACUCUCAUUGUUCCUUCCAUUAACGCACCAUGAUUUCUCUAUUAGUUUUAUCUAAUGGAUGGAAACACUUGGAUUACAAAUCAAGAAAAAUAUAUUUUAUAAUUUUGAAGAGUAUACCUUAGUUCUUAAAUUUAUUUUUUAAAAGUUAUUAAUUCAAGUUUUAUAAAUUUUAAAGUCAUUAAAAGCUUAUAUAAUUAUUAAAUUCAAGACCCAUAAAAUUAAUUGUCAUGCUUAUCUACUUCUCAUGUAUUUCAUGCAAUUACACUAUUAAAUUGCUCGAUAAAAAUCACUAAACAAAAUCAACCAAUGGAUCCAAUGCCACAAUAAUAACUUUAAUUUUAUGUUAAGGAAUUUGAGAUAUGAUAAUGAUUAUUUUUUAUUUUUAAAUAUUAUUUUUAAUAUCGAUAUAUUUAAAUAAUUCAAAAAUAUAUAUAUAAAUUAUUUUAAACCAAAAUUUAUUUUAAAUUUUCAUUUGGAAACACAAUUUUAAUUUACACAAUUUUUUUCCAACUAUAUAUCAACUGAUUUGACAGGAGUUAUUUCAUGACUAGCUAAGGGUGUAAAAAGAUUAUCUAAUUUACUCCUGUUUUUUUUUUUAAGUUUUUUUGUUUAUUUCGUACAGGAGUUAGAAAGGACCAUGUUGCUUUGUUUUGCAAGGAAAUUGAAUUCAUGUUAUUUUCAUGCAUAACCUAACCAGAAAAAUCAUUCUUUUAAGACAAGAAAAGAGAUGAGGUAAGCAUUGGGUUAUAUUUUAGAAUUCUAAAAUAUAAUCAAAUCCCUUUGAAAUUAAGUAAAAAUCCAAAUCCAGCACUUGAAAAGAUGUAAUUAAGAAUAAUAAUAAAUAAAUAAAACCCUCCUAAAAACCAAAGAAUACUUAUAACUAACCCUUUGACAUUCCAUUAACAAUCCAAAGGUUACUGUAUAUAUGCACAGUCAAAUUGUUGCACUAGAAAUUAUUCGGUUCUACUUGAGCAAACUUCUUCACGUAGUUGCACAUAAAUAAAUAAGAAAUGAUAGAAAAAAGAAAAAGAAAAAAAAAACCCAUAAAUAAAUGGGAGUACAUAUAUACUCAAAAUAAUUUUAAUAGAGCUAUAUUUGCUAUAGCCCACUGUUCCUAUUGGAACUACCUUCAUUUCGAACUUUUCUGUUUUUUAAAGAAAAAGGGUGAAUUUACAAAUAAAAAUAAAAUAUGAAUAUUCGUAUUUUAUAUCUUUCUUUGACAUUAAGUAUCUCCAUUGUAUUAAUUAAGAGAAUAAGCUAGUCAAUUAAAGCUUAUAAUUAAUAUGAACGUUUUCAUCAAUUGAUCUAGAUAAAACAAUAAGCAAUAAAUAUAUCCUAAGAAAUUUUCACUUAAAAUUAUUAAUUUAAUUUUUUUUUAAGUUUAUCCCUCAAGAUUUUAUUAUGAUAUAUUUUUUUAUCUACUCACAUGAUAUAUUUAUUAUUUCGUAAGUUUUUUUUUUAUACAUAGUAAUUAAAGAUAUAAUUGGACAGUGGUUGGCUUAUUACAAGGGUGACAUAUACACAUGUCAUCGGUUGUUUGUCCCCGUGAGAAGGGAUUUGUUUUUACUUUAAGUUUUUCAAUAUUUUUUGAGAUUGUGAAAAGAUAGAGAACGGAAAAUUGUGGCCUAACCUCCAAUUAUGUGCUUAAGACAAUAAGAAAAUUAAUAUGGAAACUUGCCGAACAAAAAAACAUUCAUUAAUUUCAUAAAUCAACGCACCAAACCAUAACAUAUAUCCUAGGCCAGUCCGUCCAGUCAUGGAAAUGCUGACAUUCUAACCUCAGGAAUUCGUAGGUUUCUUCGCAACUUCAUUUUUUUUGUCAUGUAAUAAAAGUUGGUUUUUUAAAAUAUUUUUUUAUUUUUAAUAUCAGCAUAUAAAAACCAUUAAAAAACUCUAAAAAAUAUAUCAAUUUUAAUUUUUUUAAGCUAAAUAUAUUUUAAAAAUGCAACAUGAUUCCACAAGAAAAACAAACGGUGCCUUAUAAAUCAACCCCGUCUAACACUCAAUUUGACUGCUGUGGGAGCAAUCAUGUGGUUGAGGACACACGGCUAUACCAUACGCGGUUUGGAGUAGUGUGAAAAUGAAAUUUUAAAAUCGAUGAGUGAAUAGACUUUAACACUAAUUAAUUAAUGAUUUUUAUGUAAACCAUACGUGAAAAUCAACACCUAAGAUUUUUCUUGUGAAUAUUAAAAAAAAAAGAAAAUCAUACAAGAAAUUAAAAGAAUAAUCAGAUGACUAUAAAUAUAUAUUUUUUACUUGUGCUGUGUGAACCCACAAGUCCUGUUUUAUAUAUAUAGUAAUGUCUUAAUCGAAUAUUCUUGUAAAAUACUAAAUGAUAAAUAAUUUUAGUCGUUAUUAAAUUAAUAAUCAUUAUAGAGAUUAGUUGGAUGAUCAAAAGGUAUUGGAUAUAUUAUUAUUCGCUACAUACAAAAAAACACAAAUUUUAAUGCGAUCUUCACGUUCCUUUUAGUACCAGAGAUUGCGUGUAAUAUAAUGGUUUUUAUAUAGUUUAUUACGAUCAAACAUUUUAAUAUCCAAAGGGUAUUCGAUACGUAAGAGUCUUAGGAUUACGACUAUGCAAGAUUUUUAACUUUGAUUCACAAAUAAUUAAAUGAUGUAUUAUAAGAAAAACGAGAUUGUGAAUUAAUGUAAGUAAUAUAUUUUUUUAAUGAAUCGGGAAAACACCAGAAGGCCGAUGUUUCCCUUAACAUGUGGGCAAGAGAUUUAAUUGAAUAAUUAUGUUAUUAUUAUUUUUUAUUAACGUGGAUGUACAGAUCAGUUUGUGCAUACCUCAAUUAAUUUUACGAAUCCUAAAGUUAACGACCAUGUAAACUUUUAGUGAUUCUGAAGAGACUAGUUCGAACUCGUGAUUAUUGAUAAGUAAAUCUAAAACUUGAUUAGUUGAAGUAUUUCAAGGGUUAUAAUUAUGUUAUUUUAAUUAAAUAAUGUGAUGAUAUAUCAAAUAUGACAGCUGAUAAGUAAAACCAAAGGGUGUGCCAUGGAAUCUUCUAGCUUAUUUCCUUUAUUCCAUGCAAGUUCUCUUGGGUAUUCUAUCUUCGUGUCUUUUCAAGACUAAAUUGGGUGUACUUGUAUGGAAAAGAAGAGUACUUCCAGAAGGGGUGGACGCAACCUGCUUGUCCGAACAUACCCAAGUCAAAAGCUUGGUUAGAAACAGACUUUUAUCGAAAUAAGAAAAAUUAAUUGUCAAAUCCACCGCGCAACUUGGCAGAGCUUUACGUUCGACCAAAGACUUGGAAGAGAUGCCAUGGAUUAUAUAUGGAAUUCUUAGAUGAAAUUAAAAUUAUAUUACAUUCUCAAUAGUAAUCAAUUGACCUAAGAGUAGCAUCUUGUUCUCUUUUAUUCUGUUUUUUCCCUCAAAUUUAUGAUUUUUUACCGUAUUUCUUACUCUCUUUUUUAGUUUGUUAAGAAAUCUGAUGAGUAUUGAUACAAAUUUUCUAAACUCAUAUUAUGCAUAGACUUAAUUUUACCAUGUUAAAAAAAAAAUUAUAAUUAUACUUACUUCAACAAAAAUUAUCCAAUCUAAUACUGCAAGAUUUAUUAUAUCUAAAACAUUUAUCGUCUUUGAAUUUUGAAUUUCAAUUUCAUAACUCUUCAAUUUUUUUAAUAAAAUCAAUGAUAAUAAUGCAUUUUGCAAGCUCGUGUUAUCCCUGCAUUACAAGACUAAAUCUUUGAAGUUGUAUUAAGUAGAAAGAAAAACAAUUCAAUAUUUUUUAAACCUUCAAUAAUUUUUGGAUAAUCUGGACAAUUAUCAAGCAAGAAAACUUUUCUACCAUCUAUUUUUCUAUUGGAUUUUUGAAUAUAGUUUUGAAAUAAAAUCUUAAUCAUAUAUUAUCAUUUCUUGGCAUUUUUCUAUUGGAUUUUUGAAUAUAGUUUUGAAAUAAAAUCUUAAUCAUAUAUUAUCAUUUCUUGGCAUGAUAUUCACAAUUAAUUUUGCUUAAGUUCACAUUCUUGAAGCAUUGUGAUUUAGCAUACUUGCAAUUGAACCAUAAAGGAAUUUUAUCAUAACCAUCUUCAUUAUAGCAAAUAACAAUGAUAAUUUAGUUAUUCAUUAUCUUGUUUCUUACCUAUAAGUUGUUUUGUUUCAGAAGAAUGAUAUGUUUAUAGCCUAUAAAACAUUCAUGUUUCAUCCAUAUUAAUAAUAUCUUUAAUGGAAAUUGAUUUAGUUUAUCUUUUAUGGACUGCAAAUUACUCUUCAUGAGUUCUAUAUUAACUGAUCUGCUUUCUUUAAAAUGACGAUACAUCUUGAUGCCAUAUUUUUAUUUGAAAUACUUGAGCCAAUCUUGAGAAAAUAGAAAUUUACGUAUCUAUAGAGUACAUCUUUUUAGAAACUCAUUUUCCUUCUUCGAUUAGUUCUCUGGGCAUAUACAUAUAUUCUUUGUAUUGAACAAACCACUCAUAGAAAAUCUUCUCUAGCUCCAAGAAUUUUUUGAUUUUAUGUUGUUUGACAUCAACUUUAUCAAUAUUGGCUAAUAGAUACUCUGAAGGCUUCUUGAUUUUAUUUGAUAUUAUAUCUUGAUUUCCAAAAUAAACUUUUUUUAACACCCAUUAUUGUAAUUGCUUUUGAAUUUAAAUUGGAUUUUCUAUAUUUUACUCACACGAUGCUUUACGCCUUUCAUCCAUCAUUGUUGAUGUCCUUACACCUUAGAUAUAGGAAACUAUUUUAUUUAGUUUUAUUGUUUGUGAUACUAAUGUUCUUUUUAUUGAUGUUUUUGCUUGACUUCGUGUUCAUGAAGUAUAUUAAUUAAGUAUACAAUGAAUGUAAUUUAAGUUUCUUACAAAAAUAGAUAGUUACAUAACUUCUAUUUAAUAAGAGUAAUUGCAUUCAUGAAUUUGUUUUUGUUAAACAAAUACUUAGAAUAAUGACAAUUCAUAAUUUGGUAAUCGGUAAUAUUCGUAUAAUCACAUUAUUGAAUACAUGUAUUAAGUUCAAUAUUUUUUUUUAAAUACAUUUAAAAAUUAAUUAAUUAUUAAUUAAUAUAUAAAAUGAUGAUUUAUCAUUUAAAUAAUAUCUUGAUCAAUUUAAAAUUUUAAUGGUUCAAAGGGUUUCAGUAUAUAAAAGUUUAAUUGUACAUCACCUACAAUCCAUUUAAGAUUGUAAAUCCACUCUUUUAGGCAAGGUUAAGGCUAACGAAUACUCAAAUGAAACUUCUCUUAUCAAAUAGAACCCGUUAACACCAAGAUUAACAUUUUUCAUGGUCAGAAUUAGCGCCAACGAUAAUUUUCUUUAUGCUGAACCAGAAUCUGACGACUUUCUCUCUUUUUUCUUAAACUAAGGAAUUGAAAAGUAAAGAAAGUGAAAUAUUGGAAACAAAAAGGACUAUAAUUGUAUCAAUUAGAAAGUAGGAGGAGCAAAGUUAACUUUUAGCAUCAAAUUUGAAACCGCUACUUAGUUUCCCUGCCUUUUCACUUUAGUCCUUUGAAUUUGAAUCUUUUCAUUCCUCAACAAAUUAGAAGUAAUUAGUCAUCAAUUUGGCCACAUAAUGAUCCAAUCGAAAAGAAAAAAGUUUGAUGACCAAAAUAAUAAUAAAAAUAUUAUGAAAUUCCAAAUUAAUUCGUGAUUGUGUGCACAAUAUUUCUUGCAAAAGAAAACCUUUACCUUUUUUAGUUUUUCCUAUAAUGGAUCAAAAUAUGCAAUUAUUGGGACUAUUGAAAAUAUAUGAUCUAGCAACUAGAUAUGGUAACCUAGAAAUGAUUUAACAUUAACACUAUUUCUGUUGCAACACUCACGUUUUCUUCAACAAUCAUAUUUGUAGCCUCGAAAUCCACGAUUUCUUUGGUGCCUAAUAAAUUCCUUCACCUUUUGUUUUCUUUGUUAAAAACCAGUCUCUUUAAUUCCUAAAUAUCCCAGUAAUUGACGCCUAACUAGCAAAAACAAGCAAGACUUUUGCGCAAUGAUAAUCCCAGCCACGCAAAUAACAUGGUUGCGACGAAAAGCAGUAUAAAAAGAGAAGUUGAUUAUCCUUCUUGGACUCUCUCAACUACACCUAACACACACACACACACAUAUUACAAUGAUUAAAGCUUAAUUAAUUAGUGAUCAUGAAAAGACACUCUAAAUCUUUUUGAUUAAGCGGCUCGUAUAGUUUAGGGUGUCUUUUCAUGAUCACUAAGCUUUAAUCAUUGUAAUGAACAAUUUACUCCCUCGGCAUAUAUACAUUUAGAAACCAUUCAAAAUCACAUUUGCCGACAUAUCGACUACUUCCCUUAUAAUUAAAAACCCUAAGCGAGCAGGUGAUGAUGAUACCUGGUGAAAAUGAGAUUUAAAUCAUAAUAGUCAACUUUCUAGCAUAGCUGAGAGUUAGAGACUGCAAACCUAGUAAGUAACCGUUAAAGGAUGUUUUCCUAGGCUUCCCUUCUCGAUUCCCUCCUCCUCGAUCCCAUAUCUAUUGCAAAUUUGUUUGACUCGUUAAUUCAUUUUCAACUUCCAUUGAUGAUCGAGAUUAAAUUCGUCAAACCUUACUAUUUUUUUAGCAGCUCUAACUAUAAUUUAUAAUUCAUACACGCACCUAUGAAACAAUAUCAAAAUCUUGUUGGUUCACGAGAAAUUCUAAUUUUACUGUAUUUCACCUGUCUGAAAAGUAUAUUAUAAAUUAUUUUUAUAGGUUUAUACCAUGCAUCAAAAUCUUUGGGGGUAUCAAUUCGAUAAAGAAAAUCUCGGUAUGCUUCUCUUUUUCGUAAAGUUUAUAAACAUGAAACCAAACCCCGAAGAAGAAAUUAACGAUAUUAAUUAAUCUAUGCUAACUUCCUUGUACAAAACUCAGAAAAAAGAGACAAAAAACCAGUGGCCAUAUUUGUGGUUGCAUGCACAAACAUGAGGACAUGAGUAAUUGGAUCCCAACUUUUUACCUCAAAAGAAAGAAACAUGAAAUCACAUCUUUUUAUCCAUCUCCCAUAGAGGGCACAAACCCUUAUCAGCUCCCAAACUCUGUAAGGAAAGCAAACGACACACAAUAAAGAUGGAUUUCAAUCGGGAGGCGUGUGUAACACGGAAUAAAGAUAUGAAUAAUAAAGAAGUUUAAAAAGGCAAAGACGUUUUUAUUUAUUUAUUUAUAUAAAGAAGAGAGGAAUCAGAGUCACGGAGCUGUACUGCAACGGAUUACGGACAUGACUCCCGUCCGGUAAUUGCGCAAUUGCAAAUCACUUUCAUUUUGUCCCUUCUCCUUCCUCUUUUUCUCUCUCCCUUUCCCUUUCUGUGUUUUACUUUUCCGCCUUCACCUCAUGAUUAUCCAAGUUAAUUACUGGAGUAAUGUUUAAUUAGUCCCUUUAAAUCUUCUUCUCAUUAGGAGGUGUUUUAUAAAUGAAAGUAGUUAAUUUUUUUAUUUAAAAAUAUAUUAAAAUAAUAUCUAUUUUUUAAAAAAAAACAUUUACUAUACUAAAAAGUUUGUAGAAAAAAACAAGGCAUCAAAUUAAUCAAGAAUGAUACAUGUUGAACCUUAAGGUAAAAAUGAAACGUCAUCAUUUUUUUUACUUUGUUUUAAUUAUUAUUUUUUUCAUUGUAAUUCUCUCGGUAAAUAUCGAGGGAAUAUUUCCGUCGGUAAAAUCCAUUGAUAAUGUACCAACGAAAAUAUUUUCUUGAUAUUUCUGUUUGUAUUUAUCAAUUUUUUAACGGUGCUUAUUAAAAUUAAAAUGGAAAAUGGUGGGUGCUAUAAGAAUGAUGAACAUUGUUUUUACUUAAUGAUGAGGAGUCAGUAAUAUGCAAGUAUAACCGUGGUAAAAGCACAAAUGUUUGGUCAACAGUGCUUGAGUUUGAGUUGGAAAAAAAUUUGGAGUUGAAACAUCAAUCAACAUUUGUGAUGAUCAAAGUUUAGAUGGAAGAAUUGACUACAACAAUAGCAUUGGAAAUUUAAUUUUAUUCAUAGCAAAAACAAAGAUUCAUCAUCGAGAACGCCUUGGGUCGUACGUUUGGUUGGUGUAUGUGAUAAAAACAAAAACUUUGUUUCUGUGGCUACAUAAACAUCAUAUGGGUCUAGUUUAAUUAAUUGAGGAAUAUCAGUAGGUUAAUUUCUCUUAUUAAUAUUGGCCAAUUGGAAAAUUAAGAAAAAUCAAGAGAGAGAGGAUGCGACUAUGAAGAAAAAUCAAGAGAGAGAGGAUGCGACUAUGAAGUGGAUUAAGCUUCUAAUUUUCAUGAUUACUAGUGUGUGUUUGAUAUUAUAUUGUAAGAUGUUUUAAAAUAGUACUGAGUUGUUUUUUUUUUAAUUUUUGAUAUCAAUAUAUUAAAAAUAUCAAAAAAUAUUAAUAAAAAAUUAAUUUUAUAUAUUUUUAAGACAAAUACACUUUUAAAAUGUUAGAGAAUAAUAUAAAUUAUAUAUUGGAAUCUCAUCUAACAGUUUAAACUUUUGAGUUGAAAAGUGAAUUAAGAAACUUAUUGGCAAUAUCUAUGUUACUAUUUUGGAGUACAAUAGGUUGGAGGCAAUAUCAACCAGAAUCAUCCAUGAAUAUUUGGCUGGCUUCUAAGGUUAUAUAAGGAUGAUCGCCCUUUCCCUCUCUUGGACAGUCCACUUCUAAUUAAUUCCACACUUGGCGCGAGCAUGAUAAAAAGUACAUGGCAUGAAGAUUAGUGGCAUCGCUCAAGUUGAGAAAUGGAUGACGAUUUUUUUGUUUUGUUUCUUUUUUUUUUUAGAGUAUUUAAAGAAUAAAGUCGUGGGUUCUAGCACUCCACUAAUAAUUUAGAAUAAUUAUAAAUAGAAUGUUGAUAUAUAUAUAUAUAUAUAUAUAUAUAUAUAUAUAUAUAUAUUAACAAUUUAAAAAUAUAAAAUAAUAAUUUUAUUUAAAAAAUAAAUUUUAAAACUUUUCAAAAACACAAUUUAAUUACAACCCCAAACAGAGAAUAUAUCUUUCUAUCCCAAACAUAACAAGACUACGGAACAUUAGGAAACUGUUUGGGAACACGGUACAAACCGUAUUUUUUAAAAAAUUAAUUAUUUUUUGUUAAAAUUUAAUAUGGUUUGUAUGUUUUGGAUCGUUUUGAUGUGCUGAUAUCAAAAAUAAUUUUUAAAAAAUAAAAAAAUAUUAUUAUAAUUUUUAAAAAAUAAAAAAAUAUUAUUAACAUGUAUUUUAUUAUAAAAAUUUAUUUAAAAAGUAACCAUGUUAAAUAUAUAUAAAAAGAAAAAUGUAAAACCCCAAUUUACCAUGACAGGCAAGCAGUGACAACAAAUAAGUACAGAAAACAGAACUUAAAAAAAAUAUUAUUAUAACAAAUCUCUCUUUCUUUAUUCAGUAAUUGUACCUUGCAAGUACUCCUACCUGUACCCCUAUCCUUCUCUCUCCCUUCUAUCAUAACUCUACCCUUUUCUUUUCCUCUCUCUCUAUAUAUUCCUCUCCUCCUUCACCUCUCCCUACCCAACCCCCCGCCUCUCCUCUCUCUCAAGAACUCCCCAAUCUUCAAGCCUUCCAUAUUUCCUUUUACCAAUAACAAGAAAAGCCCACUUGCUCUUAACUAUCCCACUCCCCAUCUUGCAUAGAUUCUCUUAAUAUUUUCUUAACGUCGUCGACCCCAUUUGGAUCGAUCUUUUUAGAAUGAAGCAGCUAAUUCGCCGUCUCUCACGGGUGGCAGACUCUUCUCAAUACAGUCUUCUGCGCUCGAACUCUCAAUCCACCACGACUGCUUCUCGACGGAGAUCCGGCGGGUCGAGGUCGGCGCGCCGGCGAGGAUCCGACAAGCCGGUGCCGGAGGGUCAUGUGCCGGUGUAUGUCGGCGAUGAGAUGGAGCGGUUUACGGUGAGUGCUGAGCUCUUGAACCAUCCGGUUUUUAUAUGGCUUCUGAACAAGUCGGCUCAAGAAUACGGGUACGAGCAGAAAGGAGUGCUGAGAAUUCCUUGUCACGUGCUGGUUUUUGAACGAGUUAUGGAAUCUCUGAGACUCGGUCUUGAGUCAAGUGACCUUGAGGAUGUACUUGGCUCUUUGUUCACUUCUGAGGAUUGUUUGUGAAUUUAAUUACACGGUGGUGAUCAGUUUAUAUAUAUAUAUAUAUCUGGGGAGGUUUUUGUAGAUCCUUGAAAUGUAUGGAGUGAUGUUGGAAAUAUCAAGAGAUCGUUUUGCGGGUUUUUUUCCGUGUAAAUAUACCUUUUUCGAUCUUUUGUGGUGAUGAAGAAGAAGAUUGCAGUGAAGGGAGAAGGUGAAGCAGUAGAGAUAAAUUUUAGGUUUUAUUUUUCUUUUGAAUGUUACCAGAUGUAAAAACAGGGACUGAAACAGCAAUGGAAAAAAAAUAGAGAAUUACUUGUUUUUUUUCUUCUCUUAACCAAUUUAAUUAUGUUAUGUUUGGUUCUUGGGAAAAUAUGGGAAAUUAAUAGAAUGGAUAUAUAUAAUGAAAUGGAGGAAAUGAAAGAGUGCAUUUUGAAAUUUAGUAUAAGAAGCCACAGUUUGGAUCUUGGAACCAUUAGAGAUGGAUCCCUUUGCUCAAUUAUUUUCUACAUUUAAUUUUUUUAUGUAUUUUUUCUAUUUUUUUAUAUAAAUCUUUAGGCACAUUUAUGCUUUGUGCUAGUGCUCCUUUUGUUGCUUUGUAUAAAAGAUAGGGAAAUUUGAUAUGGUUUUGGGUUGUAUAUCAAAUUUUAAAUUUAUUUUUUAAAAUAAUUUUUACUUGAAAAUAUAUUAAAAUAAUUUUUAUUUUAUUUUUUAAAAUUUAUUUUUAAUAUAGCAUACUAAUGAAGUGUUUCUCUAGUGGUUAAGACACUGCUAUAUCCCUGCAAGGGUGAUAACACAAAUUCGAUCCUUAGAAAACGUACUUAUUGGGAGGGGCAGCCAUAAACCCCAAACGAGACUAGUCUCACCCUUUAAAAUGAUGUGAGAUACCCGGGUAAGAACAAAAAAAAUAUCAAAACAAUUGAUCAAAAACAUAAAUAAAAAUUAAUUUAAAACUAAAAAAAAUAAAUAAAAAAUUCAAAAACACAAUUAAACCACAGUUAUAAAUCUUGCACACAACAGUUAUCUUAUGUCAUUCAAUGUUUUAUCAUAUCGUUAAAUAUAGUACUAUAUGAUCAAUUUCAUAUCAAGGAUUAACUCUAUAUUUGAUUAAAGAAAAAAAAACACUGAAAUUUGAAUUUAAAUUUAAAUUUAAUUUGAAUGUGCACUUAAUUUCGUGCCACAGCAUUACCGUUUGGAAAAGCUCUCGUCAUCUCGGUGCUCUUUGGCGGUGAGAUCUUAUUCCUGUGGCCAUUUCAGUAUCUGGCCUGGAUUAGAAUUAAUUAAUGAUUUAUAUGAGGUCAUUUCUGUAAUUUUAAGGAAUAUGGAAUAUUCUGGCAUCUACAUUGUUAAGUCGGCUGCCGUCUAUCUUGUACAAAAAUCUUUUUAGUUUUACGUGACUCUUGGGAUUUAUGUUCAACGUGUUGUUAAUUCUUUUAUUUUUUUUUAGUUUUAAAUCAUUUACAUAAAUUUCAUAACACAUAUAUACACUAUACUUUCCUAUUAUUUUCUAAACUAGUUUAUAUAUAUAUAUAUAUAUUGAAUUUUAACUAAAUCAUUUACAUUUGAGUAGAUAUAUAUAAGUAAUAAAAUAUUGCUUUUAUAUUUUUUUAAAUCAAAAUUCGAAUGAAAUUAAAUACAACUUAGUUACCAAAUCCUAGUAUAGCAGGAAAAAAAAUCAUAAAAAAAAAAGGGCAGAGAGAGAGAGAGCUUGAACGGUUUAAGCCACAAGCAGCAACAUGCGUAGAAAGAAGGGUAAGCAUGCACGUAAUCCGGCAGCUAAUCUGCCAACAAAAAUGAAAAUGAUAAAGAGAAAACUGUCAAAACGGUUUCCUUCAAACAGAACAAUCAAAUCACAUAACAUGAUCUUGAAUUUGAUUACAGUAAACCUAAGAUUUGUCUUUCUAGAUCAUCACCUAACACAACGUUGACAUGAUGAUUAUACAUAUCUUAGAUAAUCAAAGCCUCAAACAUCAGCCUCUGUGCCACCUACUAUGAUUAGGUGAGUUGCAGGUAUGCAUAUGAAUUCUCGUGCUUGCUGUUCUUAGUGCUCGAGCAGUUUUUAUAUGUACAUCUUUAUGCGUUAUAGAUCAGUAUCAUGUACCUAAGAUUUGUUGUGCUCUGUGAGAAAAAAAGAUGACUUCUAGAAAAUAUUUAAAAUAUAUAAUUUGCAUACGAACUGUUUUGAAAAUCGGCUUCCACUAGUGUAUAAGGAAAUUCUGAUCAUGUCCAUAAGAAGAUGAGUUUGAUGCAUGCAUGAUCGAUGGACAGAUAAAGAAUCAUGAAUAUCUAGGCAGUGGAAAACUAAGAGAAAUAAUUCCCGGAAAGAUUGUCACUGGUACGAUGGAAUCUCAAUGGGCAUUAUCGAGCUAAAUAUACUCAUCGCUAAUUAGGUACUUCGAUCCCCGAUGAUUAAUUUUAAUAGAAACUUGUAAAAUCAAGAUGGCUUAAUUAGUUGUGUUUUUUUUUUCUAUUAAUACUACUCCAAUACACAGUGAAUCACAUCGUUUGCUACAGUACUUUGCCACCCGAAAGCCAGUUAUACCUUCUUCUUCUUUUUUUUCAAGGAUAAAGGGAUAAUUUUACUAUUCUAAUACACAGUUAAUCACACAUUUGCUACCAUACUUUUUUAAAAAUCGUUUAGGUUUCAUUGUUAAUUCUUUCUCAAAUAAUAAUAAUAAUACUGGUUGUUUUUGCCUAUUUUAGGGCCCUCCAUAAACAAGAAAAUACAAAAUACAAAAAAAAUAAAAAAAAAUAUUAGUGAGAAGAUUAAUAUAUCAGAACGCCCAAGAAAUUAUCAAAAACUGGUUGACAAAGAUCAAAAUAUACAAGAUUGAAAAAUUUGAUAGUGUAUUUUUGACUAAUGAAGAUCCUAUUAGCCAACAUGUUUGUGUAUGAUAUUGUGACUUAUUGGGAUAAAAAGAGAUGUUUAGAAGUCCAAAAUGUCAUUUUAUAGGUUUGGAAGAGAUUGCCUUAGCCGAAGAUUUUUUGGGUUUUCUAGUCAUGUUCUUCGUGUUCUAGGGAAGAAUAUUGCUUUAGCCCCUUGAUUUGGACCAUGUUAUGUUUGGUCCAUUUCUUUGCACAUAUACCUUCUUUAUGCAUGAUUAGUAGAUAAUCCAGUGUUUAUUUGCAUCAAUAACAUGUGCUUGAUAAGUUUUAAUCCUAGAAUUUUAGUUUUGCAUCGAAAUCCAUUUUGACAAAACAUUAUGAUGUUUUAGUGAUAAACGAGUGAAUGAAUGCUAGAUUAUUGAUCCUUGCAUGAUCUUUAACAUGUAUGUGCCUUCAUUUUGAUCAAAUCUGACCAGCAACCUGGGUUCCAAAUCAGACCAUAUUUUGUUAAAACGAAGGCGCAUGCAUGUUGGAAUUCAUGCAAGAAUCAAUAAUCUAGCAUCCAAUUAUUUCAAUUUUCACUUAAACAUCAUGAUUUUGUCAAAAUAGGUUUCGGUUCAAACCCAAAACUCUAGAAUUAAAAACUAUAGAAAAGGUGUUAUUGAUGGAAAAACAACCCUAGAUUAUUUAAUAAUCAUGCAUAAGAAAGGGUUAUGUAAAAAGAAAUUGACCGAAAUUAGUCCAAAUCAAGGGUCUAAGACAAUGUUCUUUCCAAGAGCAUGAAGAACAUUGUCUAAAAACCCAAAAAAAAUACAGUUAUGAGGCAGCCACUACCAUGCCCAAAAAUGGGCUUUCUUUAUCCUAACAAGUCACAAUAUUAUACACAAACAUGCUUGAUUCCAAAAAACUAACAAAAAACAUCAAAAUAUUAAAAUCAAGCAUGAAAUACCAAAUCCAAAAACUUACAACCUAAAAAAGCCUACAUGUUCAUGCAACAUGGAUUCAAAAUUGGUUUUCUAAACCCAUUUUGUGCAUGAAUAGGCUUAACAAGCUAAGGAUAAUUAAACAAUCUUGCUUUAACAUGCAUUACUUAAGUUAAAUAAAGACUAAAACAACAUUAUAUAUAUACACACACACACACCAACUUAAACAACAACUUUAAUAUUUCAAAAACAUAAUAAAAAAAAAACUUCAAAAUAACUUCAUUAAAUAAAAAUCAAAGCGACAAAGAGGUGAAUACAAUAUUAUUUGUUGAGCAUUCAAACCACUUUUCUCUACUUAUAAACAUAAAUAUAAAACAAAAAAGCAAGCCACUAAAAACCUACUUUUGGAUCAGAAAAGUAUACCUAAAACAAUUACUCUUUCUUUCUUCUUCUUUUUCUCCCCCUUUUCUCUAAACCUGUAUUUAUAGGGUUUUGCUAGGGUAGUAAGAGGUUUUGAAUCCAUUUUUAAUCUCUUAAUCUUGAGAGAAGUGUUGUAAACCCUUGAUAAGGACCCAUUAAGAAGGUUUUAUGUGUGAACACAUGAAAAAUAGGUCAAUUUUUGCAUAAUAGUUACACUAUCAGGACUGGUUGGGUUGCCCAUUUUUGAGGUCUUAUUGGAGCAAUUCUGACGUCAUCAUCGACUGAGACCGAAAGCACACCUUUCAUUUGAAUCCAACCUUGCUCUCAAUUUAGAGGUCUGUAGCUUCAUAUUCAUGUUUUUGAAGUUGCCAACUCGAUCAGCCAGAACUGUUAAAAACAGAGGUCAAUUGACCGAAUAACGUGUCACAUAUAUUCUCUUCUUUAAGUCUAAACGAUAUGUCGUUGAGGGUAAUUGAUUUAGGAUUGGCAAAUUUUAAUUGAGCCCCUAUUCUUCCAAUUUCUUUUAAUUGCAUCUAUAAUUGCUUUUAAUCUUUUAAUUUUAUGCAAUUUCACCCUAUCAAACUCGAUUGCCAGCCUCUAAGUUGGCCGUCUUUUUUUUCUUUUGAUCAUUGGUUCUGAAUUUGUGCAUUUUGACCCUCAAUUGACUAAUAAACUUCUAAUUUCUUUAAUUUAGCCCCUGAUUUAGUCAAUUUUCGCCUCUAUAUUCACGUGCCUUUUCCAGUUUGGUCAUUGGUUUUGGUUUUCUUCUAUCAAUUCCCUAAUUGUCCAUCAUAUUUCAAUAUUUAUGCAAUUAAACUCAUGAUUUGACCAAAUUAACUCCUAAAAAUUAUAAUUCAACCCUCAGACUUUAAUUUUUUUUUCCAGUUAAAGCCUAAAUUGACUUUAAAAAUUAAUUUUUCUUGUAAUUAAGCCCUCAAUAAAUUCAAAUAAACCUUUAAAAAUUAUAAUUGAGUCCUUAAACAUCUAAUUUUGAAUUUUCCUUCUCAAAUUGAUUUUUCUUUGCCAAUAGGACCUUCAUCAGUUGAAAAUACACUGUCAAAUUUUUCAAUCUUGUAUAUUUGAUUUUUCUCAACUAGUCUUCAAUAAUUUUCUAGGUAUUCUGGUAUACUCUUUUCACUGAUAUGUUUUUUUGAUUUUCUUCCAAUAUUUUUUUAUCUUCAAAUGCUGUCAUAAAGUAUUUUUUUAGUUUUUAUUUUUCCUAGUUUUUAUUUUGUUUGUGAGGUUCCAAAAUAGAUAACAACACAGUCAAUCAUGAUUAUACCAUAAAGCCUUUUUAUUAUUUUGGUUUUUAAUUUUUGGAGGGUAUAAAAAUACUUUAUGACAGCAUUUGAAGAUCAAUAUUGCAUUAUAUUUUGAAACAGGAUGCUUUUAACUGUAUAAAUAACGUGUGUGAGUAGGUAGGGGGUCACAAACAAAAGGGUUUUGGCUAUUUAUGUGAUAAAAUGAUCGUCUUCUUCUAUUGAUUUGCAGGUUUGUUGAUGACCCCACGAGCAAAUAUGUGGCUAAUUUGAGCCUAACUUUAUCAAACAAAACAACAAUCAAUGACUAAUCAUCAAACCUAUCAUCUCAAAUUAAUUAAGAGGAGUAUUGAUUAAGCAACAAUAAUAAAAAAUAAGUUGAUCAAAGAGCCAAUCAAGCGAAUUUUGGCCUCACAUCUACGGUGUUUGAAACGGACAAACAAAUUCGAGAAUUGGCAUUAAAUUAUGGCCUUAUAAUAAGGCACCGAAUAAUUGACACCAUAGUGAAGAUCAAGAACUUUGGCAUCCUAGGCUUAGCUAGCUAGUGCAGUGUGGUGUCACAUGACAUAUCUUUUAAGACGCAAAGUAAACACAUUAAUCCUCAAUUAACAAAAGCUUUCUCUUUGAUGUAAUUACAUAAUAUUAAAUCAUGAAUUAGUUUAUCCAAAAUUCAACAAGUCAACUUAGAAUCUCGACUGAAAUAUGCGACUAACUGAUCCUUAUUUCGUAUGGUUAGGCUAGUUUGUAUUUUUUAUGUUGACGAUAAUGGUGUUAAUAAUUGUUUAAGAUAAGGUUUUUCGACCAUUUUAAUUUUGUUUAGUUGGGAUGUUGAUUAACGCCUAUAUUCUUGCUCGAUUUCUCUUAUCUCCAAUUAAUGAAGCAUAAUUUAUCUUGAUUCUCGCUUUUUUUUCAAAGUAUAAUAUUUUUUAUACUAAAACACAUGAUUUGUGACGAAUAGAAACACUUACAUAUGACUUAUUCACGGCAUGUACAACUUAAACGAUAAGGACACACAGCCAUACUUAGCUAGAAGGAAGAAGAAAAUAAGGGCGAGUGAAAGAGUCUUGAUACGACGAAUGACAGAGUGUUUUACCUAUAUAGAACUCUUCGAGUGAUUUACAGUAUGUUAAGACCAUAUCUAAACGAAUCUCUGAUGGGAAAUUUAAAUUUGUGAUCAUGAUGAAAAACAUUAUUGUAGUAGGUUAACAUAAUAUUGACGAUUAUACAACUAGUUAUCUUAGUGACGCCCAUGAAUCAUGAAAAAGAAAAGGUAUAAUUCUUUGUUGUCUCAUAGGAUCAUCUAUGAUGGCAAUGCGACAACCACAACUUUAUAUAUCUUUUAUUAUUAUUAUUAUUAUUAUUGAUCAUCAACAGCUUUGUAACUAUAUACAUAUAUUGAGCCUCUUCUAAUAAUAGAAUAACUAACCUUAAUUUUCCAUGGAUCAGCAUACGAGCACGCAUGCAUCACAGAAAAACGAAAACAUUAUACCCAAAACAUCGACAAAUUGAUCAAGCUUUUGAGCUUGAAGUUGGAGAAAUCUUUUACUAUAUAUAUAUAUAUAUAUUAUUAUAUUCAUUGCACAUAUCCCAGAGACAAGGUGUCAAAAUUCCGGAUAAAUAUGUUUAAACGUGCUUAGUUAUAGUAGAUUGCACACUUCAAAAAUGCAAUAUCCCAGAUUUUACUCUUUAAUUAUGUUAGUUCGUCAAUCAACAAGUUUCUACACUAAACAUGAUUUAUUUUGAGAUGCUCAACCACCACGUCAAAUGGGUUUUGAUCAAAUUAACAAUUUAAACAGUCAAAAACUUCAUUUUUAGUCAAUAGUUAAAUGCAAAGAAACUUGAUUACCUGCAAGCAUAUAUAUAUUAUUUUUUAAUGUACAUUUUAAUUUAUUCUAGAAAACCACUUUGAGAUUGGCUAGUAUGUGAACUCGGUUUGGCUCAUUAAAAAAAAAGGAGCUUAUUAUAUAUAUAUAAAUGCCAGGGGGGAAAAAACCCUAUAAAAAUAAGAUCCUCUGAUCUAUAGUACAGAUGCAAGAAUAUAUAAAAGCUGUAUACAGUUUUGUCAGAAAUUCCAACAUAAAUUACAAGAGAUUCGCCAACUAAGACGCGGCCUUCGUGAUUGGCUCUUACAAUGAUUAAAGCAAGUUAUACCUACACUAUAAUAUUAUAUAAAAUCGACUAUUAGAAGAUUGCUUUAAAUUAGCAAAGCCUUUGUUUUUAAUCUCUCUUCAGCAAGAAAUACACUCAUUAGCUUUUUGGCCAGCACUACGUGGAUCGGGUUUUUGUUUUUCAAACAAAGAAAAAUAUUAAAAUGUUAGGAAGUUAAAACUUUGAUGUAUAAUGAUCUAAAUAUUUCUAAAAUACUUAAAUGAUAACAUAUUGUAUUACAUAUUUUUUAAGAAAAUAAAUUAAAAUGACGACAUAUUUAAUCUAUUUGGGCCAAUAAUGACUAACUUGUGAAACGUGCGAUUUAGGAUUGUGAUAAAACCAUGAAAUUCACACUAAAAAACAAAUUAUAAAGUCAAAUUAUAAUGAACCAAAUAUUAAAAGCUAAAAGCAAUAUAUAUAUAUAUAUAUAUAUAUAUAUAUAUAUAUAUAUAUAUAUAUAUAUUAAUUUUUAAUAAAAACCAACAAAAACUGACCUAAGUAAACUUAUAUCGGUGGUUAACGCAAUACCACGAGCCAAUCCAAUUUUUUCUGCAUGUAAGAAGAACAAAGUUAAGGCAAUGCUAUGAUUUCUAAAGAAGUAAAAGAAAUUUGAGAUAUAGGUCAUUAAGACGACCAUAUUUAAUAAGUUUGAUUAAUUUAAUAACAUAAAAAACCCCUAAUUUAAUAUUAUUAAAAACCAAACAAACCUAGACAAAUCUCUUAAACCCGGGUUAAUAUUUUAAAAUCAUAACUCGUGAAAUAUCAGACACAGGAUCAAUCAAGAAGUCCAACUCCAAACUAAUUUAAUAUUUAAGGAUAAAAUUAGAAAAAAAAAAUCAAUCUAAAAAACUUGUCAAAAAAAAUAUAGCAAUAAAAAAGAAGGGAUCAAUCCUGAUAGAAAAGGAUGAGGAUGAAAUAGCAAAACCAUUAAUUUUAUAAAUCAUCCCAAAAAAAAAAAUAACAAUAUAAAGAAUGGGGAUUAAAUUUGAGAGAUAAAAAAAUUGGAGUAUGAAAUUGAAAAUAAUUUCUAAUUUGAAAUAAUUUUGUGAUGAAAAAAAAUGCAAAUAAAAAAACAUGGAUUAAAUCUUAAGAGAAAAGAAAACGAAGGGCUUCUAUGAUUUUUUUGAGGGGCAGACUGUAAAUCGAGGUGCAUGAGAGAGAAAUUAAAUGAAAAAAAGAAAAUCAAACUGGCACCAAACCAAAUGGAAUCACAAUACAUGUUCUGCCUAGUAAGGAAGAGGACAUCGAGUUGAAUUUAAUGACGAGGUGAAACAAUAGUUUUAACCACUUGAGUCAGUCACACAUGUCACCCGAAGACGACGAAGCAGCUGACGCAUGCAACGCACGAAUGAGCAACUUCUUACUUAUUUUUAAUUUUAUUUAUUAAAAAGUUUUGCAAAACGUUCACGAUCUAGUAUACAAAAUAGAAAUAAAAAGAAAACUCAUGGUUUGAUAAGCAAGCACACUAGAAAAGUGAUUUUAUUUAUCAACCAUGCAAAGCGUCCCGUAAGAGCUCGUUGUUAUGUAUUUUAUUAUUUUUCUUGAAGUUUUAAUUAUAUGUUUAUUAGUGAAACUUUUCCUCCUUGACAAUGAUUGUUGACAUGCAUAAUAUAAGAGCAGAACUCCAACAAGAAAAUAUGAUGUAUUGAGCUAAAAUAAGUGUAACUUUGCAGUAUCUUUUCUUCCCCCUCUUAGACUUUUUAGUUUAGGAUUUUUUUCUCUCGUUUCCCCUCCACCUUCAGCAUCUCUAAUGUGAUGUACCUGGUAUAUAUACUUCACAUUGUUGAUUUGAUUGUAUUUUAAUUAGAAUUUUAAUGUUUGAAAUUUAGAAAUUCCAAUGUACAUGUUUUUCAUAUCUACAUUUGUUUUAAAAAUAUUUGUGUAUAAAAUUAUAUUUAUCUUAUUGGUAUGAACUAUUUAUAUGAAUUGUGAAAUUUGUAUAAGAUGAUUUUUGGAUAUGGUGUGACUUUAUUAUGAUUAAGCAAUUGUUGGUUAGAGGAUUAUAACGAAAAAAAAAAACAAUUGCUACCUCCAACAAAUUUGUUGAUGUAAAAACUUGUCAAGAAAAAAACAGUGAUGAAAUUAUUAAUAAAAUAAAAAAAUCUAAUUAGAUAAUUUUUAAAGAUGAUUUCUAUCACCAUUAAAAUUACUAAUGGAAUUUUUAUUAUAAACCGAUAAAAUAUUACAUCAAUAUUUGGUAGUGUAUAAUUUAUUUUAAUUUUUUAUUGAUUUUUUUUCACGCGUUGAAGUAUUUAAAGUGUUGUAAAAAUUAUAAUAUGGUGUAUAAAUGAAAUCGUGUAAAGAUCGUGAGAGAAUCGAAGUAAUUUUUUCUAAAAUUAAAUAUAUGUAUAUUAUUGGUAGAAUAAAGUUGGAGUAGUUGUUUCAUAAGCGUGAUAGUACAGUACGAUGAAAUCCUUGAUUUGCGGUAAUGGAACGUGGGUGAGCAUGUAGAGUCACGUUCAAACCUUUUCCCCCUCAAUUAUGACCAUAGCUUUAAAUUAAUAUCUCAUGUACUUUUGUCUAAUUAUUUUGGAGAAAACAAGGAAUUUUUGCUCCUCUUCCUUAACACACAAGAGAAAGGCACAAAAAGAAAAAUUAUUGGCCCUUAUAUCGUGCGAAGACUAAAAUGUGAAGGUAUGAUCCGAGUCAGAAGGGAUCGGUAAAGUUUGAGAUCUUCAUUGAUUUAUUAAAAUUAACAACGGCAAUGCGGUUUUGGCUUCAGUCAUUGCUUCCUUCCCAUGUUCCUAACACAUGCUAUAGCUCCUACGAACUCACUUACAUGGGCAUCUAUCAAUAUGUGAGUUCUUCACGAGUUCACAUGUUCUAGGAACUUCUGCUUUUAAUCUCUCUCUAUCCACGAGCUUUCAACUAUGUUAUAAUAUUAAUUUGUUUAUCUUUGAAAAAGAGUCUAAAAUUAUCUCAAACCAAGAAAAUCAGAAUAUUUUAAAUAAUUAAUGCAUAGAAACGGAAGAUCCUUAAAAAAACUAGUUGGUGUUGAUAUUAUUUGUUUUUUUAAAGUAUUUUUUUAUUUAAAAAUAUAUCAAAUUUAAAAACAAUUAGUUAAGUAAAAAAUAAUUUCAAAAAAACUAGGUUAUUAAACUUUAUAGAGUCAAUAACCCAAUUUGCGAGUUAGGCGAGAUAACCCUGGUUACCCCUGUUUGCGGGUUUAGCGUGGUACUUUUUUUUCUAAUUGAACUCAAUUAUGUGAUCGUUUAUUUUUUUAUCAUAUAAUUAAAAUUUUCUUUUUCUAAUUGAACUCAAUUAUAUGAUCGUCUAUUUUUCUUUUUAUCAUAUAGCUAAAAAAAUAGUUUUGAAAAAAAAACAUGUUAUUAAAUUUUAGAAAUUCCAUGGGCCCGUUGAUGUGUAUGGCGAGAUUAACUUUUUUUCUUUUUUUAUAAAUUCAUUAUUUUCAAUUUCAUCAUUUGAUAUUAGGCUGAUUGAGAAUUGAGUUUCAUAAUUUGUUUUGUUUUGUUUUCUAUAAAGUUAUUAUAGUUGUUGUUACUGAUUUUUGGGUUCCCACACAAAAAAUAAAAAAAAUACAUAUAAAAAAAUAUUAAAAAGGAAUCCAAAAAAUAAUAGGGGUGAGAAAAGAUGCUGGAACACCCAUAAAAUGGCUAGAAAUUGGUUGAGAAAAUUCAAAAAUACAAGAAUUGAAAUUUUAUAGUAUAUUUUUAACUCGUGAAAGCCGUGUUGACAAGGAAAAUUUAAUUUGAGGAAGGAAAGUCCAAAGUCAGAUGUUUAUGGAUUCAAUUAAAUUUUAUCUAAAGUUUAAUUGAAUUUAUGGAGGGUUUGAUUGCAAGAAAAAUUGAUUUUUAAGUCAAUUUAGGCUUUUAUUAAAAGAAAUUAAAGUUCUGGGUCCAAUUAUAAUUUUGAAGAGUUGAUUUGGUCAAAUUAGGGGCUUAAUUUCAUAAUUAUUGAAGUUUGAUGGCCAAUUAGGGACUUGAUUGAAACAAUCCAAAACAAAGAACCAAACCGGAAAAGGCGCUAAAAUCAAGGGAUCCAAUUAUAAUUUAUCCGGGGGCUUGAUUACAAAAUUUCAAACAUCUAAUGACCAAAUCAGAAAUUUUCAUUUUGAAUUCAAAAAUGGCGUCGUUUCCUUAACAACUAUUUAUUGCCUUCUUCAGCAACGGUUUCAUGCAGGUGGUCGUGAGACAUUACAGCAGCAACAACGAUGGAGCAUGUCGGCUGUCAUUCCUCAGCAAACCGUUACCAAGCCAGCCGUUACUAGCACAAGGCCGUCUCUGGCCUAUAAAAGCAGGAGAAAAAAGAGAACAGGGAGAGAAAACGGAGGGGGAAGAAGACGAGACAGAGAGGAGGGAGGAGAUGACAUAGAGGAGAAAGAAGGGAGAAGGAGAAGAAGGCAGAGUGAGCAGAACAGGAGAGAAAGUGAAGAGCAGUAAAAAAAGAAAAAACAGAGAGGAGUAAUAGAGGAAAUACAGGGGCGACAGAGCGGAACAGUGGAGAAGAACUAAAGAAAAGAAAACGAGAGAAGGAGAGAACCAGGCGCAGAGAGAGGAGAUAAGAGACGGACACGAGGCGAAGACAGAAUGGAAGGGAAGCCAGACGCAGGGAGGGGCAUCAUAGCUUCUUCCCAGAAUCCCAGCGACAAGCUAGGAAGUGACUUCUCCAGCAACGGCUGUGAACCGGGUAAGCUUUUCACUCCUUCUCCUUCCAUUUAUAAUUGCUCAAAGACUGUGCAUGGAGCAGGCGUGCGUGAAUUGUUCAUGCACGCUUGCGGUUAAAAGCCAGU